UUUGGCAGGGUGAUGAACUUAAAAGAAAAUAUCGGCUUGCUAAAUGGGAUAUCAUCUGUAGACCGAAAGACCAAGGGGGUCUUGGUAUUGAGAAUCUUGAGGUUAAGAACAGAUGCCUUCUUAGUAAGUGGCUGUGGAAGCUCUCAUCUGAGACUGAUGCCACGUGGGUGCAAAUCCUUCGCAGCAAGUACCUCCAGACAAAAACUUUGUCCCGGGUCACAGUCAGGCUGACUGACUCGCCUUUUUGGAAAGGACUGAUGAAAGUCAAACAAUCCUUGUUUAAUAGAACAAAGUUUGUUAUUGGAAACGGCGCUAGUACGCGCUUAUGGGAGGAUACUUGGCUCGGCGAGACACCCUUGGCCAUUCAAUAUUCGUCUUUGUAUCGUAUUGUUCAACGACGUGAGGUGUUCGUUGCAACGGUAUUUCAAUCUAUCCUCCUUAAUAUUCAGUUUAGACGGUCGCUAGCGGGUAAUUGUUGGGAAGAAUGGCUCCGUCUAGUUAGGAGACUGAUGGAGGUUCAGCUUUCUCAACAACGCGAUGAAUUACGCUGGAAACUGACUAGGUUGAGAGUAUUCACAGUUAAAUCAAUGUACAUUGAUGUUAUUAAUUCGAACUCCAUUCCUACCUCCCAGAAUGUUGGGGAUGUCAAAGUUCCUUUGAAAAUAAAAGUGUUUAUGUGGUUUGUUCAUAAACAAGUUAUUUUAACCAAGGACAACUUGAUAAAGCGUAAUUAGACAGGACCUACUAGGUAUAGUUUCUGUGAUCGGGAUGAGACGAUCAAACACCUCUUUCUUGAUUGCCCGUUGGCCAAAGUCCUUUGGCGGACGGUCCACAUUGCUUUUAAUAUUACUCCACCGAAUUCUGUCAACGCGUUAUUUGGGACAUGGCUUAAUGGGAUUGAGUCUGACUUAGCGAGACACAUUCGGGUUGGAGUUUGCGCUUUGAUGUGGACUAUCUGGAAUUGCAGAAAUGAUUUGGUUUUUAACAGAACAUCACGUAUUCAUUUUUUGCAGGUUAUUUUUCGAGCCACGGCACUGAUCCGUUCGUGGUCGCUACUCACUCCGAUGGGGGCCAGGGAGCAUUUGGUUACAGGAUCUAUCCGCUGGGAGAUGAUAGCUCGGGAUAUCUUCAACCGGUUUGAAUGGCGGUCAUGUAAUAGGAUAGGCUAUUAGUUCACAUAUCUAUCUUUAGCCAGCCAGUUGUGGCGUCUUUUCUUGGCUAGUUUGUGUUUCUAGCCCUAUUUGGCUCUGUGUGAGCUUGCUGUCCUUUUUUUUCUACAGUUCGAGGCUUCGAAACCUUGUUGGAACCUUUUUAUUUGGUUAAUAAAAUGGCCGUAUGCAUCACUCUGAUGCAGAGGCCGGGGAGCUCUCCCUUUUCGAAAAAAAUACGAGCUCCCAUUUCCAAGACGGAAUCAAGACUAAUGAAAUCACAAAUCCCUUGUAACGACGUGUUUGACACAAUGGUCACGCAAUCGUGGGAAUUUGUGGCGACAAUUCUAUAUAGCGCUCGCCCGGGGUAGUGACCCUCAUGUUCCAUAUGCUACCAUGUGAUAGUAUAUAUACUAUUUUAUCAUUUUAAAUAUGUUCAUAUAUCAUUCUAAGUAUAUAUACUAUUUCAUAUACCAUGGGAUGGUAAAAGCGCUAAAUAGGAGCUUCCGGUCUUAUUUCAGCCGAAACACGUACAGAAAAAUAAAGUAGGAAUAAAAUCCUGAAGGAGUGCCCAAAAAUGACCAGAGGCUCCGGGAAGGGAUACUCCUGAGUUAGUUGUUCUCUUCGGCCUUUAACAUUCAGUGCAGUAUAGACACUCUGCCAGUUGAUCAUGGGCUUGCACAGUAGCUCACCUGGUUCGUGUCCAGGCUCUACGACAUUGUGCUUGUGGGAAGUUAAAGCACGUCGAAUUAGUAAUCACGCUCAACAACAUUCAGCAUAAUAAUCGAUGAUUCCCUACACUAUGGCCAGCCUAAAAAAAAUCGAGGAAGGACGACCAAUCCAUUUGGGUCAAAAGUCAAAACACGCCACUACAUGCCGCACCUCCUCGUUUGCCAGUUCAAGCCUCUUUUGGUUCAUAUGAUAGAAAUGUUAUAGGAAUAGGAAAAUUAUAAAAAGUGAGAUGACAUGCAUCUUAAUUUUUAUAGAGAAAGAGAUGUCAUUUAAUGCAUAGGAUAGAAAUUUUUCCAUUGAGUCUUAGCUAAUAUUUUUUUUCCUCCAAAAUGUGAAGGAUUGAUUCCUAUCCUAUAUAGGAAUAGAAAUCCAUUUCUACAAACAAAAAGGCUUUAAAAGAAAUUUUUCUAUGCAAAUCUUAUCCUAUAGAAAUCCUAUGACAUUCUUACAAACCAAAAGAGACCGGAGUGGUUGUGGGCUUGUGGUUGUGGCGAUGGGGGUGCGCGCGCAUCUCCUCGUCGUCCUUUGCAUCCUCGUCGCCGGCACAAGCACGGCUCAGCUUUUGCCGCCGCGCGGCCCGGCACCGCAGAUGAAGCCACCGCCGUUCGGGCGCGCCAUGACGAUGAUCAUCACGGUGGUCGCCGUGGCCAUCGGCGUUCUCUUCCUCCUGCUCUUCUUUUGCGCGUACGUCACCCAGUGCCGCCUCGUCGAGGACCACGGCGCGCCGCAGGAGGGUAGCGUCGCGCCGGGCGGGGUGUCCAGGCGGGGAAAGCGCGGGCUGGACCCGGCGGUGGUGGCGACGUUCCCGAUCGUGCCGUACAGGGAGAUCAAGGAGCACAAGAUCGGCAGUGGCGCGCUGGAGUGCGCCGUGUGCCUGACGGAGUUCGAGGACGCCGACGACCUCCGGCUGCUGCCGCACUGCUCGCACGCGUUCCACCCGGAUUGCAUCGACCCGUGGCUCCAGACGCGGACCACGUGCCCGCUGUGCCGCGCCAACCUCGAGAAGCCACCGCCACCGGCUGCCGCCCCAGCGCCCUCCUCGCCGCCGCAUGCCGUCGUGGCGAUGCCGGUGCAGCAGGGUGAGCAGAAGGAGGACAGUGACAAGGACGACCGGAAGGAGGAGGCCGCAGAGCUGGAGAAGCUGCGCAGGGAGCGCCGGGCGGCGAGGCUGCUGAGGUCGCACUCGACGGGGCACUCGGCGGAGCAGUGCGACUGCGAGGACCACGAGAGGUUCACGCUGCGGCUGCCGCAGCACGUGAGGGAGGAGGUGCUCAGCAGGUGCUGCGCGAGGCCGUCUGUGGAGAGCCUGAGCGGAGGAGGGUGCGGUGUGGGAGAAAGAGGAGGCAGCUUCCGCGACGCCGGAGGAGCCAGCAGCGGCGAGCGGCGGUGGCAGACGCUCCUGGCCAGGACGAUGCCAUGGGCCCGAGCCGGGUCGACGCGGAAGGUGCGGGAUGACGUCGCGGCCUCCACGACGGCCGCGCGGCCAUGACCCAGACGACGUCGACGCCGGAACAUUUCGUGUGCUCUUUCCGUUGACUCUGAUGGUGUACAUUGAUUCUUUUGUAAUUCCGUUGGGUGUGGUGUGGGAGGCAAUUCGAUCACAGAGGAGCAGCGUAUGCGUGGUGGUGAUGCUUUGUUUGUGCUCCUUGGUGUUGAUGGGUUAAUGGUUGGUUGGGUGUCCGUCCGUUGCUCUCGGUCAACCCUUCGUUUGAAUGAAAUAUUCAUGUACGUAAAAACACGAGUGUAAACAACGGAUAUGGAAAAGUUUCUCGUGCUGAAAAAUUCUGUGGAGAAGAACGUGCAUGUGGCAUGAAUAUGGCCGUUUGAGUAGGUAUCAUUUUGGCAUUCGGCGUUUGGCUAGCGGAUAUCCGGAGGUAGGAGUACUUGUUUUCUCAACCUGAUCGUGAUUUGUCUUUUUUUUUCUCGAGCUGUGAAUCAAAAAUGAGUUUGAAAUUUCAAAUAAAAUACUUGGGAGCAAGAUGUUUGAGUGGAUGAAAAUUAUCCACCAAAAUGGAAUAUACUAGAAUGUAUCCUUAGGAAAAAGAACAAGAAUUUUCUCAGAAGAAAAUUUCUAAAGAUGAAGAAAAGAAAGGUGUUGAAGUUCCUAAAGUAUGUCGAGGAUAAACAGUUUUCCUGUUUCUCAUCUAGCUGAGAAAUAGUUGUGUCUCAAUCACCUUAACCACCGUUGGUCGGAUCAUGUGUGCUGCAAUAUGUGCGUGAGCUGACCAUGAGCGCAUUAUGUUUCUAAUCGGCGACAGUUUCUUUUUCUUUUUUUGAAUAACAAUCGGCGACAGUUUCUUGUUUCAUGUGGGUGCUGCGAUUUGUGCACGGGGCGGUGCGGCUAUGUAUCGCUUACAGCGAUCCCGAGUGCAGUGUCACCUGCAUCGCUCCGCGGCGCUCCCUAACUGGGCUAACUAUGUGCGACACUGCUCUGUUUGCUCGUUUGUUUUUCUUCUUUUCUUUAUUUUAUACUUAUAUUUCUGUUUUGAAAUAUCGGAAAAAAUAAACAUUUAUAUUUAACUGUUUUAUGAAGUGUUUUAAAAAAAUAUUUAUACAGUGCUAAAAAAAUGUUUGCCCAACUUUCAACCAGUUUUAAUGGCAAUAAAAAAUAUAUACAUCAAAAAAUAUUAACGUGUUUUGAAAUAAGUUGUGACAUUUACAAAAAAGAGUUAUGUAAUGUUAAAUAAAAAUUCACACAACUUCUUCAAAACGUAUAUAAAAUAAUUCAGUUUUUAGGAAAAAAAUGUUUUAUUAAAUGUUAUGCAAUGUAAAAAAAUUGUUCCCAUAAUUCAAAUAUAUAUUUCACACCAUUUAAGAAAGAUAUGUGAAAAUUCAAAAAUGUUCAUGUGUUUCCAAAAUAUGUUUUUCAUUUUCUACAAAUAAUUUUUAAAAAAAUAUUAAACUAUAUAAAAACAAUGUUUUGUAGCAUUCAAAGAGGUUAAUGUUCAACAAUUAUUUUAAAAAUAUUUAACACAUAUUAAAAAUAUGUAUUUGAAAAAAGGUUCAUCAUGUAUUUAGAAAAUGUUCAAUGUGUAUAAAAAAUAUUACAUGUUUCUACAAAAAUGUACAAUAUUUAUAUCAGAUGUAGCCACGUGUUAAAAAAGCAAAAAGAAAAGAAAAUUGAUGAAGCAAUACAUAAGACCGGAGAAAAACAGUGAAGGAAACACAUAAUAAAACAAGAAAAAAAACCACCGAAAAAACUUGUCAAAACUACUACAUAAACAAACAGGACAGGAAUCUGGGUGAGGAGGAUAUGGAGUGACACAAAGUAGUAAGAGGUGGGCAAGUAUCGAACAAAGAAAUGGAAGAUCGACAAAAGAAGAGAAGGGGAUCUAGGAUGGAGUUUGAUUGAUAGAUAGAUGUAGACGGGGAGAAAAAAGGGGAUCCGGGAGAAGAACAUGAGGGAAGGAGUUCGAAUAUGGCAUAACGCCAGUCGCCGAACUAACACCGGAAAUCGCCAUGGAGGCAAGUCGUGCCGCUUCCGAGCGGUCCAGUCUACCACAACAACAGGUGAAACCUACUUAGGAUUUGCAACAAAAGAAAUAUAGCUACCGGUAAUGGGGUGCCCCCAUACAGUUUUCUCUAUGGGAUUUUUACACUUUUUUGUUCUGCCAUAUGUGGCCUUUCCUGUUUGACCCCUGAAGAUCCCAAGUACUUGCUCGUGGAGUGUUGUUUGUAGGGACUCCACGGGCAAGUACUUGGGAUCUGCAAUGAUCAAAUGUUUAGGUAUAACUGACCUUUCUUCCCUGGAGGCGAUGGCAUGCCGGGAAGUGUUGGUACUCGCCCUUGAACUAUCGCUAAUGGAUGUGGUGAUUGCUUCAGACUGCCAAGGAGUGGUCAAUGAUAUUCAUAUCGAUACAGGUGGACUAUAUGCAAGCAUCAUCAAGAAGAUCAAUCAUACAUCCAAGUAGAUAGCUCGUUGUUCCUUCAACUUCGAAGGAAGAGAGACUAAUAUCGACGCGCAUAGCCUCGCUAAACACGCUCUAGGCUUUUCUCUAGAACGCCAUGUGUGACCCUGAAUGUUCCAGACCUAAGUUGUAUCCCCAUGAACUUAUUACUUGAUCAAUAUAAUGGAGUGUGUUUGGAGUAAAAAAUGGUGGGGCCUUUUUCACCUCUCUUUUAUCGUUAGAAGACUUUGAGAGCAGAUCCGUGUUGCUGGGUUGUCUCUCAUAUGUGUUAUUUUCUUAUCUCACCUUUUACUUUUCAGUUCUAAUUUUUUUUAUGUUUCUUUUAUUUUUAUAAUAUUUUUUCCAUGUUCAUACGACGAAUACAAGGGUGCAAUUUCAGUGUGUUUAUAUUUUUAUUACGCAAACACCCACAAGUGUCCGAGUUGCAUAUUUAUCACAUUGUAACCCAAGUGUAACUGCAUGGGCAUAAAACGACUUCAAACGGGGUCGGGAGGGUAUUGACGGGCUACUAGACAUGCAACUGCAAGCGUUGUAACUCAACUGCAACUGCGCGCACAAAAGUGACUGCAACUAGGGCCGGAAGGGGAGUUGCCGACGCCAGUUGCAUGUCGACCACUACAUGCAACUGCAAAUGUUGUAAUCCAACUAUAAGUCCAAGGGCACAAACCGGUUGCAACUAGGUCGGGAGGAAAGUUUUUCGUGGCCAAUUGCAUGUCCAUCAAUAGACAUGGAACCGCAAACAUUGUAACCAAACUACAACUCCAUGGGCACGAAUCAAUUACAACUAAGGUCGGAAGUGGAGUUUGUGGGGACCAGUUGCUUGUCCACCACCAAACAUGCAAUUGCACGGGCGCAGAGCGACAACAAUUAGGGCUGAGCUGAUUUUUCUUCUACUUGUCGCAUGCACACAAGUUGCAUGAGUCGCACCCAUGAGUUGCAACUGUGACAAGACAUAUGCAACCAGUGCCGACCUGGUCUUUUCCCUACUAGUCACACAUGCGCGACUUGGAUGUGACGCACCAAUGCACAAUUGCAACCAUCGCAACACGUAGGCAACUAGCGUCAACCUGAUUUUCCUACUAGUCCAUGUGCAUGAGAUGCAUACGACACACCGGUGCACAAUUGCAAAUGCCUAACUAGACAAAGAUAAAGUACCAAACUGACAAGCAGAACAAGACAAUAGCUCAGUAGGGAAGUGAAUGAGAGGUAGUUAUAUCUCGAUGAGUUCUAGGCACUACCAAGAAUAAAUAGAAAAUAUAUGUUUUCACUUACAAAAUAAAGAUUUUUUCCUUUUAUUUUCCUUGUCUAAUGGAAGGUAUACACAUUAGAUGGACCAAACACACAAUAGUAGAUCUUUCACAAUGGUUAAUCUAAUGGUUCAUCCUCGAUUUUGGAAAUCACUUGUACGAAUAACCAAGACCAUAUUCACAAUACAAACAUUUGCUUCCCAUCUAAGAAACAAAAGGUAGGAGUCUUCUUGUCGAUAACAUCUUAGAUGUCGGUACCAUUGUCUUCAAUUAUAGCACAAAAUCGGAGCCGUUAUGAUCAAAUGUGUCGUAAAAGUAGCCUCUCUUGCAAUAUGGGGCAUCUUAGACCAUGUGGUUAGAUCAUAAUGGCCAAGCAUAUGGAUGUUGGUACAAACAUAGUCUAAUAGAACAAAGAGCGGACAAGAUGACCCCGGGACUCAUUGAUGGUGAUAGACCCUAUAAAUGAUCCUUUUUUACAAAAAGACUGGUUUAGCAAAAUAGAUCAAACAGAUUAUAUAUUAUCAAAAGGAAGUGAGCUGUUUCAAAGACCAUUCAACAAGUACCUCGCUAAAUAGUGUCUCAUCUACGCUUCAUUUUAUACAUUUUUUUAUCAAGAAAAAAGACCACAAUAAACUCUUCGAUUUCUGUCAUCGGGAACCUAGGAAAUGAACAAGUCCAAGAACCCACAACCCACUGUCAAAUAGUACGAGUAGAACAAGCUACUUUGUCGAACCUACACACUACCCCACCUAUCAGAUAGAAUGUUAGGGGGCACAGGGUAGGCUACUCUAACACAAUACGAAGCAUUUCUACCUUGUGCCAUCCAAGAUCAUGCUAUCGGAAGGAGAUCGCGUACGUAUCACUCGACACGUGCAUACUGGUAGAGGGAGUAGACUCGACGAAGCUCGUCGCCGUACUUGUAUUCAUACGUCUCCACUUCUCACCAGAUUCGUCUAAGCAUGACACGAGCCACACCUCCAAAGUGUAUCCACAAAUACGUGUCUAAGGACUAAGGCUGGUCAUAGUGGGGAGUAACUUAGACUAGUGUCAUGCAUAUGACAUUAGUCUAAGUUACUACCUUCGUAAUGCAAAGUAAUAUACUAGUAAUAUCAUAGAUGACUUCAUUUAUUAGCUCGUAGACUCAUCUUGUCUUGAAAAACGUUAUGUUACAGUAACAUAUUAUGUUGCCAUCUUUCAUUAGUUACUUGCCACAUAAGCAGAAUUUUCUUGAAGUGCGCUAUGUUACUAGCUAAGUUACUCCCACUAUGACUAGCCUAAUGGUGGACUUCUUGGUUCCUUGCCAUAGGCCAUUGGAAAGGAGACAAUGGCACUGGGUUGGUUUCUCUAAAGCCUAGAGUGGGUCCAGGCAUUACUAGCUAGAACCCGAGGUGAAGAUAUUGAUACCCAUCUACUUUAAAAACGGAUCGUUUGGCAGGCAUGCGGACAUUAGAUCUCACUUGAGUAUCUGGGAACGACAACUAGCCAUGCCAAACAUGUUUGUAAUUGGGCAAGUUUUCAUACGGUAAUUGUCCACAUAUCUUUACCUAAUAAUAAAGCAAAUUGGAUUUCUUUCGUCCGUCAUGGCAUUUUUCAGAAAAGUCCCUCUAUUUCAGAGAAUUCAACCCGCAGUCCAGUUUUAAGUUAAAACGAAUCAUUAUUUUCGUAUUUUACAUAAAAGUCCAUGUCUUUUCUUGAAAUCAACCCGCCGUCUGGAUUUAAGUCACACCCGAACCGUUAUUUUACAUUUUUCAAAAACCCCAUAAUGUUUUAGGUAAUUCAUCCGCCGAUCAUAUUUAAGUCAAACAAAUGCUUUUUAAAAUCAUCCAUAUCUUUUAAACCGUAACUCCGAUUUGAACAUGUUAUAUAUGAAAUUUGAUUAGAAAAAUAUGUAGAAUAUGAAUAUGAGAUUAUUUUUACCUAUUAAGUAUUUUUAAAUAUUAUUUUGGAAUAUAUUUAAGUCAAACCAGAUGAUUUUUUAAAUUAUCUGUAUCUUUUAAACCGUAACUUCGAUUUUAACAUAUUAUAUAUGAAAUUUUAUUAGAAUAAUGUGUGGAAUCUAAAUAUGAUGUUAAUUUUACCUAUUAAAUAUUUUUAUGGAAACAAACUUAUAAUUUAUAGCGCAAUAUCUUUUUUAAUACCGGCGGCGAUCCAGAUUGCAAAUAAACACCCCACUAUAACCAUAUAGGGAAAAGAAAACAUUGAUAACUACACAUGCAUACCUCUAAAAAAUGUCGCAAGGGAAAACAACAGAUUUCUCAUCACGAAAGAGAGAGAGAGAGACGCCUUAGGAUUAACCAUAUUCAACACAUAUUUUUUGUUGUUUUGUGUGAACACCGAGGCCAUCACCGGCGAGGGUGAGAAGGAGGAUAAGCGGCAACACAAAUAUGAUGCCUUGCAAAAAUAAAGGAGAUGGACCUAUUGUGGUCUUAAGUGAUGGUUGUUGAGUUAAGAGCGUGCGUUAUGUUUUCUCUCCCGUUGCAACGCACGGGCUCUUUUGCUAGUAUGUUACAAAAUUACAUAUCAUAGAGAACCUUGUACUCUGCAGACGAGACAAACUUGGUAAGUUUUGAACAUGAAUUUUUUGUGGUGGCAAUUGGAGGCUGAGUGUAUGAACCUCUUAGCAGACCAUCAGCAAUGGCCUUGUAUGACGUUUCUGUGGGAUGCAAGCCAUCCCAAGAUGCAUACUUUUGUGGGUUAUCACACAUCUUGUAUUCUCCAUGUCCACACUUUGUGGUUAUUGACACACCAUAAGGCCCUUCUACACCGCAGCAAGCCACCAAAGGAUCCUCGAUACCUAAAGAGCAGUUACAGCAAAUGAGAGUCGGGACUAGCAUAUGCAUCUUUUAGUAGAGAAUGUUUUUCUUGCUGCCUUCUAAGUGAUUUCAUGUAUAAACCAUAAAGUUUUGGACCCACCAAACUGAUAAGGGGAAACGAAGAUUUCCGUAGCAGCUCCAUAGUAAUCAGCAUAGAUGAUUGACACACUUGGAUGAAGCUUUCUUAACUUUUCCAACUCAUCCACAAAGAAGUUUGUUGUGGUAGCGUGAGAACUCAUUCAUCCAACGAAUACAACAUGUCUCUGACUCAUAAUCCUCCAUGUUAUCACUUUGGUGCAUCGUGAGGUACACCGGCAAGCACCCGAUGGGGAGGUUGCCGGGAACUAAUAGAGUUUUGGCUCCUAGUGCAAUCAGAUCCUGGAAAUUGCACCUCGUUACAUUGCAUUAUUAUGUAGUUAUGCACUAUUUAUGUAAUUGAGAUUUGACAUAAUAACAAUGGCGAUGAUAGCAUAAGGAGCAAAAACAGAAAAUGACUCACGAUGAUUGUAGAUGAUAUUUUGGAAAUAACACUCGGAGUGAACAAGCGGAUCUUCUCAACAGGCACCAAAGAGGUAAGAGGAAUGUUGUAGUCAUUUCCCCCAAUUUCUCCAACCAAAAAAAGAGAAUUGUUCAUCAUGUCCGCACAGUCUGUUGCAUAAACACGUUACUUUAUCAAUGCGGAAAGGUAACAUCUUAAUAAAUUUAGAAAAUAUAUCGAAAUAGAAAAUACAACAUUUUAUGGUAGCAAAAUAGUGAAAAGGUGUACAACAAUUUAGAUCCAUUUUUUUCUGAUUCCGCUGUAGAGGAAAUUUGGAAGUCUAUAUCUUUGACUUUGAACGCCAAAGUUGUCUCCUCUGGAUAAUAGUAAUGUUGUUGUCAUUUGGUAAAACAAACCAAUUGUAGGUUAUUUACCGUUCCUGUUGAAAUUUCUAAAAUCAAGCUACAACCUCAAUAUAUUAGCAUAAUUUGGGCAUCAAUAUGGACCUUGGAAAUUAUUGGGCUAGGCCCAUUAAUUAUCACAAAAAAUUCCCAAUAAAUCUUGAAGGCCCACUCAUGCAUGCCGACUCCUAUUUGACGCCCUCGGCACCUGUUAUAGGCAAAUCCUAUUUAGCGCUGCAGGCGCUGGUUUCUUCUAUUUCUGCAAACCGGCGCCUGCAGGCUCCUUAGCUGGGCUCGGCCCAUUUAGCAUUUCCUUUUGUCUGUUUUAAAGUGCAAAAAUGUUGCCAGCGAAAGAAUCGACCCUCAGCACCUGUUAUAGGCAAAUCCUAUUUAGCGCUGUAGGCGCCGGUUUCUUCUAUUUCUGCAAACCGGCGCCUGUAGGCUCCUUAGCUGGGCUCGGCCCAUUUAGCGUUUCCUUUUGUCUGUUUUAAAGUGCAAAAAUGUUGCCAGCGAAAGAAUCGACCCUCAGCACCUGUUAUAGGCAAAUCCUAUUUAGUAUAACCAUCGUUAACUUAUCGAUUGAAACUGCUUCCAUCCUUUUUGUUCUUUCCUAGUUCGCAUCUCUUCUUCUUUUUCUAUUUUUCUGUCCUUUUCUUCCUUUUCUAUUUAUUUAUUUUUCUGAAAUGCGCAAUUUAAAUCCAUGAACUUUUUCUUCAUAAUCAACGAACUUUUCUCCAAAUUUAUGAACCAUUUUCAAAACUUGUGAACAUUUAUUAACAUUUGAUGAACUCUUCUCAGAAAUCCAUGAACUUAUUUUUCAAAUUCGAUGAACUUUUCUCAAAUUUAACGAACAUUUAAAAUUCGUUGAACUUUUUAUGAAAAUCAAUGAACUUUUUUCAAAUUUUGAUGACCUUUUUUCUAGUUUGAUGAUUUAUGUUUUCAAAUUUCAUGAACUUUAUCUUAAAUUCGAUGAACUUUUCUCAAAUUUGAUGAACUUUUUUUUUAAAAUUGGUGAACUUUUUUCAAAAUCAAUGAGCUCUUUUCAAAAUCGAUGAACUUUUAUCAAAAUCGAUGAACUCUUUCUCAAAUUUGGUGAACUCUUUCUCAAAUUUGGUGAACUUUUUUAAAAAAGUUCAAUGAACUUUUUUAAAAUUCACGAACUUUUUCCUUUUUUUGAAGUUUUCUUUUCAUUUCAUUGUUUAUGUGAAUGUUUUUUAAUAUUUAUGUUUUCUUUAGUCAAAUAAUCCAUGGUUCAUGUAAAUACCCAGUUUUCCUUAAGUAAUCAAAGAACUAAACAUGGUCUAGCGGUUAACUCGUGUAGGGCACUACCGCUGCGUCCUUGGUUCGAGUCCCACUUCUCCCCGAAAGUAACGUCACAUUUUGCACUCUCCUUUUGCUUUGCAGCACGUUGCUGGGCCGGCCCACUUCGCGUCCGUGCGAGCGCCAGCGACACGAAGCGGCGCCUACAGCGCUCAAUAGGAACUCUCCCUGUUAUAGGCCAUUCCGUAAACCGGCGCACACUCCACUACAAACUGGGCUGACCCAUUCAUUUUUAUUUUCUUUUCUUUUAGCCUUCAAAAAAUGGGUGUCCAACGUGAGAAUCCAACUCCAAACCUCUUGCGAACCAACCUGUGAUUGAGAUGGGAAUGUAACGUCACAUUUUGCAUUCUCCUUUUGCUUUGUAGCACGUUGCUGAGCCNNNNNNNNNNNNNNNNNNNNNNNNNNNNNNNNNNNNNNNNNNNNNNNNNNNNNNNNNNNNNNNNNNNNNNNNNNNNNNNNNNNNNNNNNNNNNNNNNNNNNNNNNNNNNNNNNNNNNNNNNNNNNNNNNNNNNNNNNNNNNNNNNNNNNNNNNNNNNNNNNNNNNNNNNNNNNNNNNNNNNNNNNNNNNNNNNNNNNNNNNNNNNNNNNNNNNNNNNNNNNNNNNNNNNNNNNNNNNNNNNNNNNNNNNNNNNNNNNNNNNNNNNNNNNNNNNNNNNNNNNNNNNNNNNNNNNNNNNNNNNNNNNNNNNNNNNNNNNNNNNNNNNNNNNNNNNNNNNNNNNNNNNNNNNNNNNNNNNNNNNNNNNNNNNNNNNNNNNNNNNNNNNNNNNNNNNNNNNNNNNNNNNNNNNNNNNNNNNNNNNNNNNNNNNNNNNNNNNNNNNNNNNNNNNNNNNNNNNNNNNNNNNNNNNNNNNNNNNNNNNNNNNNNNNNNNNNNNNNNNNNNNNNNNNNNNNNNNNNNNNNNNNNNNNNNNNNNNNNNNNNNNNNNNNNNNNNNNNNNNNNNNNNNNNNNNNNNNNNNNNNNNNNNNNNNNNNNNNNNNNNNNNNNNNNNNNNNNNNNAAUCCAACUCCAAACCUCUUGCGAACCAACCUGUUGUUUAAAUGGGAAUGUAACGUCACAUUUUGCAUUCUCCUUUUGCUUUGUAGCACGUUGCUGGGCCGGCCCACUUCGUGUCCGUGCGAGCGCCAGCGACACGAAGCGGCGCCUACAGCGCUCAAUAGGAGCUCCCCCUGUUAUAGGUCAUUCCGUAAACCGGCGCACACUCCACUACAAACUGGGCUGACCCAUUUAUUUUUAUUUUCCUUUCUUUUUGCCUUUAAAAAAUGGGUGUCCAACGUGAGAAUCCAACUCCAAACCUCUUGCGAACCAACCUGUGGUUGAGAUGGUUAGGUGGACAGUGGUAUUCCCAACCCACCAGGGUUCAAAUUCUGGUGCUCGCAUUAUUUCUGGAUUUAUUUCAGGAUUUCCGGCGAUGCGCUUUCAGUGAGAGGAGACGUUCCCGUCGACGACGAGGUGCCUACGGUGACUUCGUAAAUCUCAAGAUGAUAUGCCGGCUCAGUCUCUCGGAGGUGCUCAUAGGGAUAGGGUGUGCGUGUGUGCGUUCAUAGGGAUGAGUAUAUGCGCGUGUAUAUGAGCGCUUGUGUCUGUAUUGAUGCUCAAAAAAAAAAAACUCCAAACCUCUUGGUUUGGUUCAAACCGCAGUAACCAACUGAGACAGCUUACUAGCUGUACCUAUUUACUUCUUUUUCUUCUAGUUGUGCGUCAAAUUAAAUGCAGCAGUUUCCCUGUAUGGUUUUCUUUCUUUUUUCUGGUUUUGUUUGGCUGUUUCUUCUUUUCUUUAUUUAGUUUUUUCUCUUUCUCUAUCCCUUUUUAUUGUCUUUUCUUUUUUUAGAUUCGUGAACUUUCUUAUAAUAAUGAAUUUUUUCUUAAAUUCAUUAACAUUUUUCUAAAUUCGUCAACAUUUUCUUACAUUCGUGAACUUUUUUCAAAUCAGCAAACUUUUGCCGAAUCCAUGACUUUUCUUCGAAUGCAUGACAGUUUUUCAAAUCCACAAACUCCUUUUAUCCAAGGGUGUUUAGCUUUUGUCCAAAAGACUAGCACAACAGUGUUGCCAAUUAAUCGCGAUGUGCCUGAACCGAUCAGGCUCCAAUUUAUUGUUACUUUUGUACUCACUCUGUAAACUAAUCUAAGAGUGUUUAGAUCACUAAAGUAGUGUUCUAAACACUUAUAUUAAUUUACGGAGGGAGUAAUAAAUAAUGCCCAAGACUUGCUGUGUACAUGUUGCGGCUUUGUCCAAGUCUAAGGCUAGUUUAUCUUGCAGUUAGCUAGACUAGAAUCAAUGCGAGGACUUUGGCCACGAUCGCGUCCGUGGGAUGGCACGGGAGUGAUGGAUCGUGGGCAAGAUCUUCGGUUCCCAUGAAUAAAAGGAGAAACCCGAAAAGGACGUAGGUGUUGAGCGCAUCGCAAAAACCUGUUUCUCUGUGUGUUGCUAUUCGUCAGUUUUCUGUCAGAGAGAGUUUUAGAGCUUGGCUCACAAAUCCACGUGAUUGUGUUGUGUUUCAGGGCCUGAGAUCCAACACAAAACUUAGCGAUAGCUUGCUCAAGAAAAAAAUGACCAAAGAUGGAUGACUAAAGGAGGACCAAAGGAGUAAAUAAAAGAUCAAAUCAGGGACAGAUGUGCUAAUAAGGAUCAAAUCAGAUAAGUACCUGCAGGCAGGAUUCAUCCCACGUACAAACUGGCAAAAUUGUAGGGCAUGUUAGUAGAAAACUUCAAGACAUAUAUCGCAAAAGAAUAUAUGAUGAGCUGAUCUAGCUCAGAAACCAAGUGAGCCUGCACCCGCAUAUGAAGUUUACCUAAACUGAACAAGACAAGAUAUCCUGGUCAUAUUAGAUAUGCACGGCCAGUUUCCAUGGAAUGGAAGGCGUCCUAUUACAGAGUUCUUAUUAUACUUAGUGGAUCCUGAGGCAUAAUGAUACAUACCAAAAAAUUAAACUUUGUUUCGAGCUUUAAAUACAGUCCAGAGAACAACAGCAACACCGACUGGUACUAUCUAUCAAUAAAGAAACAAGCAUAUUACAGAGACUGAAAGCACACUUCACUAUGCGCCGCACAAACCUUGCUACCGGCCAGCUAAAACCAUGCAAUUAAUUUGAAAAGUACAAGAAAUAUAGCACCAAGGAGAAAUCAUAGAGGUUACCUUGGCAUCUUAACAAGAUACGGAGCUCACAUCAAUCUCGACAAAAAAGUUGUGAAGCAAGGAAAGAGAGGAGCUUCAGAGUUAGUGGUGGGUGCUGCAUGAAGUGCAGUGGGAAGCAGAGCUUCAGACUCUGCUUUUGCAUGAAGUGCAGUGGGAUGCAGAGUGAAUGGUAGUAUGGAAGUGAGUAGUGCACUUCAUGUAGAAUAGUGCACUUAGUCACUUCCAUACUACCAUUCCUGAACUCUGCUUCAGAGUUAGCGGUUGGGAUGCUGUAAUACAAAAUUGACAAACAGUAUGUAGUCAUGCCAAACAUCAUACUUGAGGCGGCUUCCACGUGAUUGUAUAUACCACCUCAUCGCAUCACGUCACCUUGGAAGCUGUGUUGAAGGAAAUUACUCCAUCCAUCCCUUAAUAUAAGAACAUUUUCAAACUAACAUAGCUUGAAAAACAUUCUUACUUAUAUUAUGGGACGGAGGGAGUACUUCCCUCAUUGGAAAAAUAAUAUCCGGCAAGUAAAUUAAGAGGUUGAAAUAUCUGAAUGCAGAGGAGUUAGUGUAAAGUAAAUAAAGAGGCUACAAGACCUUUCAGAUGGAGAUGGUGCAUACUUCAAACACUACUUCAAGCAACAUUCUCUCAAGCAACACUAGGAUAAGAAGCAUUCUUCAAUCGACACUUGUAUUUCCUCCACCUCGGCUCCCACAUCAUCAUUUGAGUGGUUCACGCAGGAAGUAAGUGUUGGGGAACGUAGUAAUUUCGAAAAAUUUCCUACGCACACGCAAGAUCAUGGUGAUGCAUAGCAACGAGAGGGGAGAGUGUGAUCUACGUACCCUUGUAGAUCGACAACGGAAGCGUUAGCACAACGUGGUUGAUGUAGUCAUACGUCUUCACGGCCCGACCGAUCAAGCACCGAAACUACGGCACCUCCGAGUUCUAGCACACGUUCAGCUCGAUGACGAUCCCCGGACUCCGAUCCAGCAAAGUGUCGGGGAAGAGUUCCGUCAGCAUGACGGCGUGGUGACGAUCUUGAUGUACCACUGUCGCAGGGCUUCGCCUAAGCACUGCUACAAUAUUAUCGAGGACUAUGGUGGAAGGGGGCACCGCACACGGCUAAGAAUAUGAUCACGUGGAUCAACUUGUGUGUCUAGGGGUGCUCCCUGCCUCCGUAUAUAAAGGUUCAAAGGGGGGGGGUGCGGCCGGCCAGGAGAGGGCGCGCCAGGAGGAGUCCUACUCCCUCCGGGAGUAGGAUCCCCCCUUUCCUAGUUGGAAUAGGAUUCGGGAAGGGGGAAAGAGGAGAGAGAGAAGGAAGGGGGGCGCCGACCCCCUCUCCUUGUCCUAUUCGGACUAGGGGGGAGGGGCGCGCGGCCCAGCCCUGGCCACCUCUCCUCUCUUCCACUAAAGCCCACUAAGGCCCAUAUACCUCCCGGGGGUUUCCGGUAACCUCCCGGUACUCCGGUAAAAUCCCGAUUUCACUCGGAACACUUCCGAUAUCCAAAUAUAGGCUUCCAAUAUAUCAAUCUUUAUGUCUAGACCAUUUUGAGACUCCUCGUCAUGUCCAUGAUCACAUCCGGGACUCCGAACAAACUUCGGUACAUCAAAAUGCAUAAACUCAUAAUAUAACUGUCAUGGAAACCUUAAGCGUGCGGACCCUACGGGUUCGAGAACAAUGUAGACAUGACCGAGACACGUCUCCGGUCAAUAACCAAUAGUGGAACCUAGAUGCUCAUAUUGGCUCCUACAUAUUCUACGAAGAUCUUUUAUCGGUCAGACCGCAUAACAACAUACAUUGUUCCCUUUGUCAUCGGUAUGUUACUUGCCCGAGAUUCGAUCGUCGGUAUCUCAAUACCUAGUUCAAUCUCGUUACCGGCAAGUCUCUUUACUCGUUCCGUGAUACAUCAUCUCACAACUAACUCAUUAGUUGCAAUCCUUGCAAGGCUUAUGUGAUGUGCAUUACCGAGAGGGCCCAGAGAUACCUCUCCGACAAUCGGAGUGACAAAUCCUAAUCUCGAAAUACGCCAACCCAACAUGUACCUUUGGAGACACCUGUAGAGCACCUUUAUAAUCACCCAUUUACGUUGUGACGUUUGGUAGCACACAAAGUGUUCCUCCGGCAAACAGGAGUUGCAUAAUCUCAUAGUCAUAGGAACAUGUAUAAGUCAUGAAGAAAGCAAUAGCAACAUACUAAACGAUCGGGUGCUAAGCUAAUGGAAUGGGUCAUGUCAAUCAGAUCAUUCACCUAAUGAUGUGAUCCCGUUAAUCAAAUAACAACUCUUUGUCCAUGGUUAGGAAACAUAACCAUCUUUGAUUAACGAGCUAGUCUAGUAGAGGCAUACUAGUGACACUCUGUUUGUCUAUGUAUUCACACAUGUAUUAUGUUUCCGGUUAAUAUAAUUCUAGCAUGAAUAAUAAACAUUUAUCAUGAUAUAAGGAAAUAAAUAAUAACUUUAUUAUUGCCUCUAGGGCAUAUUUCCUUCAGUCUCCCACUUGCACUAGAGUCAAUAAUCUAGAUUACACGGUAAUGAUUCUAACACCCAUGGAGCCUUGGUGCUGAUCAUGUUUUGCUCGUGGAAGAGGCUUAGUCAACGGGUUUGCUACAUUCAGAUCCGUAUGUAUCUUGCAAAUCUCUAUGUCUCCCACCUGGACUAGAUCCCGGAUGGAAUUGAAGCAUCUCUUGAUGUGCUUGGUUCUCUUGUGAAAUCUGGAUUCCUUUGCCAAGGCAAUUGCACCAGUAUUGUCACAAGAGAUUUUCAUUGGACCCGAUGCACUAGAUAUGACACCUAGAUCGGAUAUGAACUCCUUCAUCCAGACUCCUUCAUUUGCUGCUUCCGAAGCAGCUAUGUAUUCCGCUUCACACGUAGAUCCCGCCACGACGCUUUGUUUAGAACUGCACCAACUGACAGCUUCACCGUUUAAUGUAAAUACGUAUCCGGUUUGCGAUUUAGAAUCGUCCGGAUCAGUGUCAAAGCUCGCAUCGACGUAACCACUUACGAUUAGCUCUUUGUCACCUCCAUAAACGAGAAACAUAUCAUUGGUCCUUUUCAGGUAUUUCAGGAUGUUCUUGACCGCUGUCCAGUGAUCCACUCCUAGAUUAUUUUGGUACCUCCCUGCUAGACUUAUAGCAAGGUACACAUCAGGUCUGAUACACAGCAUUGCAUACAUGAUAGAGCCUAUGACUAAAGCAUAGGGAACAUCUUUCAUUUUCUCUCUAUCUUCUGCAGUGGUCGGGCAUUGAGUCUGACUCAACUUCACACCUUGUAACACAGGCAAGAAUCCUUUCUUUGCUUGAUCCAUUUUGAACUUCUUCAAAACUUUGUCAAGGUAUGUGCUUUGUGAAAGUCCAAUUAAGCGUCUUGAUCUAUCUCUAUAGAUCUUUAUGCCUAAUAUGUAAGCAGCUUCACCGAGGUCUUUCAUUGAAAAACUCUUAUUCAAGUAUCCCUUUAUACUAUCCAGAAAUUCUAUAUCAUUUCCAAUUAGUAAUAUGUCAUCCACAUAUAAUAUCAGAAAUGCUACAGAGCUCCCACUCACUUUCUUGUAAAUACAGACUUCUCCAAAAGUCUGUAUAAAACCAAAUGCUUUGAUCACACUAUCAAAGAGUUUAUUCCAACUCCGAGAGGCUUGCACCAGUCCAUAAAUAGAUCGCUGGAGCUUGCACGCUUUGUUAGCUCCCUUUGGAUCGACAAAACCUUAUGGUUGCAUCAUAUACAACUCUUCUUUCAGAAAUCCAUUCAGGAAUGCAGUUUUGACAUCCAUUUGCCAAAUUUCAUAAUCAUAAAAUGCGGCAAUUGCUAACAUGAUUCGGACAGACUUAAGCAUCGCUACGGGUGAGAAGGUCUCAUCGUAGUCAAUCCCUUGAACUUGUCGGAAACCUUUUGCGACAAGUCGAACUUUGUAGACAGUAAUAUUACCGUCAGCGUCAGUCUUCUUCUUGAAGAUCCAUUUAUUCUCAAUUGCUUGCCGAUCAUUGGGAAAGUCAACCAAAGUCCAUACUUUGUUCUCAUACAUGGAUCCCAUCUCAGAUUUCAUGGCUUCAAGCCAUUUUGCGGAAUCUGGGCUCACCAUCGCUUCUUCAUAGUUCGUAGGUUCAUCAUGAUCUAGUAGCAUGACUUCCAGAACAGGAUUACCGUACCACUCUGGCGCGGAUCUCACUCUGGUUGAUCUACGAGGUUCAGUAGUAUCUUGUUCUGAAGUUUCAUGAUCAUUAUUAUUAGCUUCUUCACUAAUUGGUGUAGGUGUCACAGAAACAGGUUUCUGUGAUGUACUACUUUCCAAUAAGGGAGUAGGUACAGUUACCUCGUCAAGUUCUACUUUCCUCCCACUCACUUCUUUCGAGAGAAACUUCUUCUCUAGAAAGUUUCCGAAUUUAGCAACAAAAGUCUUGCCUUCGGAUCUGUGAUAGAAGGUGUAUCCAAUAGUUUCCUUUGGAUAUCCUAUGAAGACACAUUUCUCCGAUUUGGGUUCGAGCUUAUCAGGUUGAAGCUUUUUCACAUAAGCAUCGCAGCCCCAAACUUUCAGAAAUGACAACUUUGGUUUCUUGCAAACCACAGUUCAUAAGGCGUCGUCUCAACGGAUUUUGAUGGUGCCCUAUUUAACGUGAAUGCAGCCGUCUCUAAAACGUAUCCCUAAAACGAUAGCGGUAAAUCAGUAAGAGACAUCAUAGAUCGUACCAUAUCUAGUAAAGUACGAUUACGACGUUCGGACACACCAUUACGCUGUGGUGUUCCGGGUGGCGUGAGUUGCGAAACUAUUCCACAUUGUUUCAAAUGUACACCAAACUUGUAACUCAAAUAUUCUCCACCACGAUCAGAUCGUAGGAAUUUUAUUUUCUUGUUAUGAUGAUUUUCAACUUCACUCUGAAAUUCUUUGAACUUUUCAAACGUUUCAGACUUUUGUUUCAUUAAGUAGAUAUACUCAUAUCUGCUUAAGUCAUCUGUGAAGGUGAGAAAAUAACGAUAUCCGCCACUAGCCUCAACAUUCAUCGGACCACAUACAUCUGUAUGUAUAAUUUCUAAUAAAUCUAUUGCUCUCUCCAUAGUACCGGAGAACGGUGUUUUUGUCAUCUUACCCAUAAGGCACGGUUCGCAAGUACCAAGUGAUUCAUAAUCAAGUGGUUCCAGAAGCCCAUCAGUAUGGAGUUUCUUCAUGCGCUUUAUACCGAUAUGACCUAAACGGCAGUGCCACAAAUAAGUUGCACUAUCAUUAUCAACCCUGCAUCUUUUGGUUUCAACACUAUGAAUAUGUGUGUCACUACUAUCGAGAUUUAAUAUGAAUAGACCAUUCUUUAAGGGUGCAUGACCAUAAAAGAUAUUACUCAUGUAAAUAGAACAACCAUUAUUAUUCUCUGAUUUAAAUGAAUAACCGUCUCGCAUCAAACAAGAUCCAGAUAUAAUGUUCAUGCUUAACGCUGGCACCAAAUAACAAUUAUUUAGGUCUAAUAUUAAUCCCGAAGGUAGAUGUAGAGGUAGCGUGCCGACUGCGAUCACAUCGACUUUGGAACCGUUUCCCACGCGCAUCGUCACCUCGUCCUUAGCCAAUCUUCGCUUAAUCCGUAGUCUCUGUUUCGAGUUGCAAAUAUUAGCAACAGAACCAGUAUCAAAUACCCAGGUGCUACUGCGAGCAUUAGUAAGGUACACAUCAAUAACAUGUAUAUCACAUAUACCUUUGUUCACCUUGCCAUCCUUCUUAUCUGCCAAAUACUUGAGGCAGUUCCGCUUCCAGUGACCAGUCUGCUUGCAGUAGAAGCACUCAGUUCCAGGCUUAGGUCCAGGUUUGGGUUUCUUUUCUUGAGCAGCAACUUGCUUGCUGUUCUUUUUGUAGUUCCCCUUCUUCUUCCCUUUGCCCUUUUUCUUAAAACUAGUGGUCUUGUUGACCAUCAACACUUGAUGCUCCUUCUUGAUUUCUACCUCCGCGGCUUUCAGCAUUGCGAAGAGCUCGGGAAUAGUCUUAUUCAUCCCUUGCAUAUUAUAGUUCAUCACAAAGCUCUUGUAGCUUGGUGGCAGUGAUUGGAGAAUUCUGUCAAUGACGCAAUCAUCUGGAAGAUUAACUCCCAAUUGAAUCAAGUGAUUAUUAUACCCAGACAUUUUGAGUAUAUGCUCACUGACAGAACUGUUCUCCUCCAUCUUGCAGCUAUAGAACUUAUUAGAGACUUCAUAUCUCUCAAUCCGGGCAUUUGCUUGAAAUAUUAACUUCAACUCCUGGAACAUCUCACAUGCUCCAUGACGUUCAAAACGUCGUUGAAGUCCCGAUUCUAAGCCGUAAAGCAUGGCACACUGAACUAUCGAGUAGUCAUCAGCUUUGCUCUGCCAGACGUUCAUAACAUCUGGUGUUGCUCCAGCAGCAGGCCUGGCAUCCAGCGGUGCUUCCAGGACGUAAUUCUUCUGUGCAGCAAUGAGGAUAAUCCUCAAGUUACGGACCCAGUCCGUGUAAUUGCUACCAUCAUCUUUCAACUUUGCUUUCUCAAGGAACGCAUUAAAAUUCAACAGAACAAUAGCACGGGCCAUCUAUCUACAAUCAUAAAUAAGCAAGAUACUAUCAGGUACUAAGUUCAUGAUAAAUUUAGGUUCAAUUAAUCAUAUUACUUAAGAACUCCCACUUAGAUAGACAUCCCUCUAAUCCUCUAAGUGAUUACGUGAUCCAAAUCAACUAAACCAUGUCCGAUCAUCACGUGAGAUGGAGUAGUUUCAUUGGUGAACAUCGCUAUGUUGAUCAUAUCUGCUAUAUGAUUCACGCUCGACCUUUCGGUCUCCGUGUUCCGAGGCCAUAUCUGUAUAUGCUUGGCUCGUCAAGUAUAACCUGAGUAUUCCGCGUGUGCAACUGUUUUGCACCCGUUGUAUUUGAACGUAGAGCCUAUCACACCCGAUCAUCACGUGGUGUCUCAGCACGAAGAACUUUCGCAACGGUGCAUACUCAGGGAGAACACUUCUUGAUAAUUAGUGAGAGAUCAUCUUAUAAUGCUACCGUCAAUCAAAGCAAGAUAAGAUGCAUAAAAGAUAAACAUCACAUGCAAUCAAUAUAAGUGAUAUGAUAUGGCCAUCAUCUUCUUGUACUUGUGAUCUCCAUCUCCGAAGUACCAUGAUCAUCAUCGUCACCGGCGCGACACCUUGAUCAUCAUCGUAGCAUCGUUGUCGUCUCGCCAAUCUUAUGCUUCCACGACUAUCGCUACCGUUUAGUAAUAAAGUAAAGCAUUACAGCGCAGUUGCAUUGCAUACAAUAAAGUGACAACCAUAUGGCUCCUGCCAGUUGCCGAUAACUCAGUUACAAAACAUGAUCAUCUCAUACAAUAAAAUUUAGCAUCAUGUCUUGACCAUAUCACAUCACAACAUGCCCUGCAAAAACAAGUUAGACGUCCUCUACUUUGUUGUUGCAAGUUUUACGUGGCUGCUACGGGCUUAAGCAAGAACCAAUCUUACCUACGCAUCAAAACCACAAUGAUAGUUUGUCAAGUUGAUGUUGUUUUAACCUUCGCAAGGACCGGGCGUAGCCACACUCGGUUCAACUAAAGUUGGAGAAACUGACACCCGCUAGCCACCUUUGUGCAAAGCACGUAGGGAGAACCGGUCUCGCGUAAGCGUACGCGUAAUGUCGGUCCGGGCCGCUUCGUCCAACAAUACCGCCGAACCAAAGUAUGACAUGCUGGUAAGAAGUAUGACUUAUAUCACCCACAACUCACUUGUGUUCUACUCGUGCAUAUAACAUCAACAUAUAAAACCUAGGCUCGGAUGCCACUGUUGGGGAACAUAGUAAUUUCAAAAAAAUUCCUACGCACACGCAAGAUCAUGGUGAUGCAUAGCAACGAGAGGGCAGAGUGUGAUCUACGUACCCUUGUAGAUCGACAACGGAAGCGUUAGCACAACAUGGUUGAUGUAAUCAUACGUCUUCACGGCCCGACCGAUCAAGCACCGAAACUACGGCACCUCCAAGUUCUAGCACACGUUCAGCUCGAUGACGAUCCCCGGACUUCGAUCCAGCAAAGUGUCGGGGAAGAGUUCCGUCAGCACGACGGCGUGGUGACGAUCUUGAUGUACCACUGUCGCAGGGCUUCGCCUAAGCACCGCUACAAUAUUAUCGAGGACUAUGGUGGAAGGGGGCACCGCACACGGCUAAGAAUAUGAUCACGUGGAUCAACUUAUGUGUCUAGGGGUGUUCCCUGCCUCCGUAUAUAAAGGUUCAAAGGGAGGGUGCGGCCGGCCAGGAGAGGGCGCGCCAGGAGGAGUACUACUCCCUCCGGGAGUAGGAUCCCCCCCCCCUUUUCUAGUUGGAAUAGGAUUCAGGAAGGGGGAAAGAGGAGAAAGAGAAGGAAGGGGGGCGCCGGCCCCCUCUCCUUGUCCUAUUCGGACUAGGGGGGGAGGGGCGCGCGGCCCAGCCCUGGCCACCUCUCCUCUCUUCCACUAAAGCCCACUAAGGCCCAUAUACCUCCCGGGGGGUUCCGGUAACCUCCCGGUACUCCGGUAAAAUCCCGAUUUCACCCGGAACACUUCCGAUAUCCAAAUAUAGGCUUCCAAUAUAUCAAUCUUUAUGUCUCGACCAUUUCGAGACUCCUCGUCAUGUCCGUGAUCACACCCGGGACUCCGAACAAACUUCGGUACAUCAAAAUGCAUAAACCCAUAAUAUAACUGUCAUCGAAACCUUAAGCGUGCGGACCCUACGGGUUCGAGAACAAUGUAGACAUGACUGAGACACGUCUCCGGUCAAUAACCAAUAGCGGAACCUGGAUGCUCAUAUUGGCUCCUACAUAUUCUACGAAGAUCUUUUAUCGGUCAGACCGCAUAACAACAUACGUUGUUCCCUUUGUCAUCGGUAUGUUACUUGCCCGAGAUUCGAUCAUCGGUAUCUCAAUACCUAGUUCAAUCUCGUUACCGGCAAGUCUCUUUACUCGUUCCGUAAUACAUCAUCUCACAACUAACUCAUUAGUUGCAAUGCUUGCAAGGCUUAUGUGAUGUGCAUUACCGAGAGGGCCCAGAGAUACCUCUCCAACAAUCGGAGUGACAAACCCUAAUCUCGAAAUACGCCAACCCAACAUGUACCUUUGGAGACACCUGUAGAGCACCUUUAUAAUUACCCAUUUAUGUUGUGACGUUUGGUAGCACACAAAGUGUUCCUCCGGCAAACGGGAGUUGCAUAAUCUCAUAAUCAUAGGAACAUGUAUAAGUCAUGAAGAAAGCAAUAGCAACAUACUAAAUGAUCGGGUGCUAAGCUAAUGGAAUGGGUCAUGUCAAUCAGAUCAUUCACCUAAUGAUGUGAUCCCGUUAAUCAAAUAACAACUCUUUGUCCAUGGUUAGGAAACAUAACCAUCUUUGAUUAACGAGCUAGUCUAGUAGAGACAUACUAGUGACACUCUAUUUGUCUAUGUAUUCACACAUGUAUUAUGUUUCCGGUUAAUACAAUUCUAGCAUGAAUAAUAAACAUUUAUCAUGAUAUAAGGAAAUAAAUAAUAACUUUAUUAUUGCCUCUAGGGCAUAUUUCCUUCAGUAAGUACAUCGGAUAUCCUUAUAGCUGGUAAAAAAAAAGAGGUGUUUAAAAUAUCAAAAACAGAAGAUAUUUCUCGGCAGCAAAGGAAAAAUGAUUUUAACAGUAAUAUGCAGUUCCAAUGCUAAAUAAUCUAAUCGAUACAUAAACAAAGAUGGGGAUUAGUAUGGCUGCGUUUCUGCAAUGCACUAUCUGUGGCAAUACUCACAAAAUUAUAUGUACCUCUGACCACUCUUCUAUUAGAGAGGAUUCACAGGUAUAGUGUCCUUACAUAAUUCCUUCCAUAAAAAAGUGAGAUACAAAGUAAUGCUACUGAAAGGACAAGUUGUACAGCCACUUAUUCUUGUUUUCUAGUACUUCUCAGUCCUGAGUCCUGACAUAUACUAACUCGUGAAUCUUCAAGCUAGCUACUCAAAUUCUUUCAUUGUGCAAGGUUGUGCCAUGUGUUGGGCACUACUAGAUUUUCAAGCUGUGGAGGUACGUAAGAAGAACUCCUUGGACUUGGAGGUACCACUGGACAAAUGACCAAUCUGCUGUAGCUUACUAAGUCCUGUCAUUGUCCACUUAAUAUUUUUGAGCCAUACUAGCUAAUUUCCAAGAGAGGGGAGACGUUCCCAACUUAAUUAAGCAGUAACUCAACUAAAGUGACACCAGGCUUUUUAUACAGAGGUCCUCAAUCAGAAAUGGAAGGUUGACGCCGGUGUAACCUGAAAUUUCCAAUUUCCUAACAAUACAAUGUGGCUCAAGGUGGUCAAGAACUAACUCAUCAAUAUUGUCUGGAUCAGCAGAAGAAGACCAACUGAGAGACAAAGAAUUGAGAGAUAUAAUUUCAUUCAAUUUGACAUCCUUAGCUACUUCGGGAUUCUUCUCAAGCCUGCUUACUUAUAGCGUGCGGAGAAUUUUUAAGCUCUUGACUGCACUUAAUUUGCUACCUAUGCUUUCUUCUACCCGGUAGUUAUUUAACUCCUCAAGAAGAGUGAGUAUCACAGCAGAGAAUUCACCAAGUCCUCGUUGGUUUUGAGGAAGAGACAUAUUAGAAUAUCCAUACGAUACAUAUCGCAAGCGAUCAAGGAUCCCGAAAUAUAGCAUUCUGCCGAAGAAUGUCCCCUUCCCAAGAACCAAUAGUGUUGCGGUAAAAUAGCAUCAAAGUGAUAUAGUUUAGUAACCGCGCACAUCCCCUCUGGUGAUAUUUUUUGCAGCUUAAGAUAGCGAAGGUGUUUCAAUUUGCCACAUUUGACAGUGUGUUCUACUAUAUGACACAGUCUUGAACAGAAGAGACGCAAAAACUUCGAGGUUUCAACAACUCUUUCAAGUGCACAAACUACAUUGUGAGUCUCAUACAUACUUUCAUCAAUGAUAAUAGUAUGCAGAUACUUAUAUUUAGAUAUUUUCCUGAUAGUAGCUCUCAAUAUUAGCAUACUUAUAUCAAUGAUAAUAGUACGCUCUCGGUCGCCACCACGUGACGCACUUUGGGCGCUCCCUUCGGAUUUUAUUUUUAUUUUUUCACACACGUUUCCGGCUUUUUAGAUGGUUUUUCCUGGGUUUUUUUUUUUCUGUUUUUCGGUUUUUCACUGGUCUUUCUUAGCUUUUUAACGAAAAAUAUGCGUGAAAAAACACGUUUUCUUUUUCUGCUUCCGCAAGACGCACGGCCAUGCCUCUAGAAAACAGAUAAAAAAUGUGUUUUCUUUUUUUUUCUUUCGUGAGAGACACGGUUUUGCUACCGCAGGAGAUACGGCCGUGCCUCUCGAAAACGGGGAAACAAAUAUGUGUUCUCUUUUUUUCCUUCCGUGGAAGGCACGAUUUUGCUUCAGCAAGAGGCACGAUUUUGCUUUGGCGAGAGGCACGGCUGUGCCACUCGGAAAUGAAAAAAAUAACGUGUUUUAUCUUCUUUUUUUCUUUCACGAGAGGCAUGGUUUUGCUUUCGCGAGAGGCAUGGCCAUGCCUCCCGAAAACGAAAAAAACACGAUUUUCUCUUUUUUCUUUUUCUUCUGUGGGAGGCACAGUUUUGCUUUCGCGAGAGGCACGCUCAGAAACGGCUUUCGGAAAGGAAAAAAUGUGCCCCCCGUUCCGUUUUUUCGUCUAGUUUUCUUGUAAGGUUUUUUUCUAAAGAAAAUAGUUCAUCAAAACCUUCAACAUGGGGCCUAGUUUUAAAGAUCUCGACGCAAGAAAUCCAAUGAUGAAAAUAGUUCAAGAUUUGGUCGCACGGUUUAAGAGGUAAAAUAUUUUAAAUAGACGGAUCUACGCAAAAAAAAGGAAAAAAAAUUGAUCGCACAAAAGUCCUGUCAUUGUCAACUUAAUAUUUUUUUGAGCCAUACUAGCUAAUUUCCAAGUGAGAGGAGACGUUCCCAACUUAAUUCAGCAGUACCUCAACUCAAGUGGCACCAGGUUUUUUAUACAGAGGUCCUCAAUCCAAAAUGGAAGUUUGACGCCGGUGUAACCUGAAAUUUCCAAUUUCCUGACAUUACAAUGUGGCUCAAGGUGGUCAAGAACUAACUCAUCAAUAUUGUCUGGAUCAGCAGAAGAAGAUCAACUGAGAGACAAAGAAGUGAGAGAAAUAAUUCCAUUCAAUUUGACAUCCUUAGCUACUUCGGGAUUCUUCUCAAGCCUGCUUACUUGUAGCAUGCGGGGAAUUUUUAAGAGAAUCUCUAGCAGCCCCAUAUAAUGCCGACCCGCAAAAUGCGUUUAUAGUUUACUGCAGAUGAAAUUUGCGAGUCGAAUUCAUGCGCUGCAGAUCAAACCCGUACAUGAAACUGUAAAAUUUAAAAAAGCAUCCACGGGACAAACUUGCAACGACAUUGAUCAUACAUUACUUCAUCUACAUAUUACAUUGGUCAUACAUAGUUCAUCUACAUUGAUCAUACUAGUGAGGGAAUCUGCAGGCCCGAGCCUAGGUACCAAAAACGACGAGCUCGUGUCGGAGGAGUCGAGGUCGAUGAAGAACUUGGCCUGCUCCGCCUUCGUGACACGCAGGUCUGCCUCCUUAGACGUGCGCGCCUGCAACGCCGCGACGCCCGUCUUGAGGAACAUCUGCUCAUACUCGAGCUCACGGCAACGGUGCGCUUCGGCCUCCUCCUGCUCCCUCGCUGACCUCUCCAUGACGAUGCGCUCUAGGUGCUCCUCCUNNNNNNNNNNNNNNNNNNNNNNNNNNNNNNNNNNNNNNNNNNNNNNNNNNNNNNNNNNNNNNNNNNNNNNNNNNNNNNNNNNNNNNNNNNNNNNNNNNNNNNNNNNNNNNNNNNNNNNNNNNNNNNNNNNNNNNNNNNNNNNNNNNNNNNNNNNNNNNNNNNNNNNNNNNNNNNNNNNNNNNNNNNNNNNNNNNNNNNNNNNNNNNNNNNNNNNNNNNNNNNNNNNNNNNNNNNNNNNNNNNNNNNNNNNNNNNNNNNNNNNNNNNNNNNNNNNNNNNNNNNNNNNNNNNNNNNNNNNNNNNNNNNNNNNNCUCGAGCUUGGCAGCGAGCAGCCCGAACUCCUCCGGCUCUCUCUUCACCAAAGUGAGCCGCGAGCUCGAGGCGCCCGCGGAUGAGCUCCCCGCGGCAGAGGGGCCGAAUGAGGCGUGGCGGCGGCGGGCGAGAUCACGCUCGUGCUCGACCAGCUCGCGACCUUUGAACUCCGGCGGCGGCCGGCUCCCACAGUUGAGCCACCUCCGCGCCCCCCGCUUGCAUGCAACGUCGGAUUUGGCGCGGCGGUGGCGCUCCGCAUUAUCCCAGAGCUCCCGUAGCCAUCCAUGGCUUUUUCAGGCGCGGCGGCGGUGAGAAAUUGGGCGGAGAAGGAGGGGAAUCGCGGCGGAGCGGCAGCAGAGGUGGAUAGGGUUUGACCAGUAUCCGAGCAGUGAAACCGCAUAUAUAGCGGUGGGGGAGAGUUUUUGUGGGCCACGGUAAAAAAUUACAGGCCAGGCCAUGGAUACGAUGUCUAUUAUGGCUAGAAAAAUGGGUCAAAUCCGUAUACUCACCGGAAUUAUACGAAUUCGGCCCUUUUACGGGGUCUGCUAGAGAUGCUCUAAGCUCUUGACUGCAUUUAGUUUGUUACCUAUGCUUUCUUCUACCCGGUAGUUAUUUAACUCCUGAAGACGAGUGAGUAUGACAGCAGAGAAUUCACCAAGUCCUCAUUGGUUUUGAGGAAGAGACAUAUUAGAAUAUCCAUACGAUACAUAUCGCAAGCGAUCAAGGAUCCCGAAAUAUAACAUUCUGCCGAAGAAUGUCCCCUUCCCAAGAACCAAUAGUGUUGCAGUAAAAUAGCAUCAAGUGAUAUAGUUCAGUAACCGCGCACAUCCCCUCUGGGUGAUAUUUUUUGCAGCUUGAGAUAGUGAAGGUGUUUCAAUUUGCCACAUUUGACAGUGUGUUCUACUAUAUGACACAGUCUUGAACAGAAGAGACGCAAAAACUUCGAGGUUUCAACAACUCUUUCAAGUACACAAACUACAUUGUGAGUCUCAUACAUACUUUCAUCAAUGAUAAUAGUAUGCAGAUACUUAUAUUUCGAUAUUUUCCUGACAGUAGCUGUCAAUAUUGGCAUACUUAUAUCAAUGAUAAUAGUACGCUCUCAGCCGUCGCCGUGUGACGCACUCUGGGCGCUCCCUCCCGUUUUUUUUAUUUAUUUUUUUCGCACACGUUUUUGGCUUUUUCGAUGGGGUUUCCCGGUUUUUUUAUGUUUUUUGGUUUUCCACCUGUCUUCCUUACGUUUUUGACAAAAAAACGCGUGAAAAAACGUGUUUUUUUUCUUCCGCGAGAGGCAUGGCCAUGCCUCUAGAAAAUAGAUAAAAAAUGUGUUUUCUUUUUUUUCUUUCAUGAGAGUCACAGUUUUGCUAUCACGAGAGAUACGGCCGUGCCUCAAGAAAACAGAAAAAAAAAUAUGUUUUAUCUUUUUUCCCUUUCGUGGGAGACACGGUUUUGUUUCAGUAGGAGCCACGGUUUUGCUUCGGCGACAGCCACGACCGUGCCACUCGUAAAUGAAAAAGAAAAACGUGUUUUCUCUUCUUCUUUUUUCCUUCCGUGAGAGGCACGAUUUUGCUUCAGCGAUAGGCACGGCCGUGUCUCUCGGAACCAAAAAAAACAUGAUUUUCUCUUUUUCUUUUCCUUUUGUGGGAGGCACGGUUUUGCUUCCGCGAGAGGCACACUCGAAAACGGCUUUCUGAAAGGGAAAAAAUGUGCUCCCGGUUUGGUUUCUUCGUCCGGUUUUUUUGUAUGGUUUUUUUCCUAAAGAAAAUAGUUCACCAAAACCUUGAACAUGGGGUUUAGUUUUGAAGAUCUUGACACAAGGAAUCCAACAAUGUAAAAAGUUCGAGAUUUGACCGCAUGGUUUAAGAGAUAAAAUAUUUUACAUAAACGAAUCUACAAAAAAAAACACACAAGUUAUGACAAGUGGCGCACAUGCAACGUGCAACUUGUCACAACCUGAAAGGGUGAAAGUGAUCUUUGGAAGGAGUGCUCCUCAAAUGGCGGCGAGCCUAUAUCUCGCAUACAGCGAAGACAUAUGGCUGCCACCUGAAGCGAGCGCUAGAUGGCCUAGCCCAGCGAACGGAGGCCACAGGCCUCAAAAGCGCUUGUUUUUUCAUAGUUUCUUUUUCAUUUUUUCUUAUUUGAUUUCUUUUUUACUUUUUGUUAUGUAAAUAUUUGGCAUAUUUUCUAAAAUAAUGUUAAUCAAGCAUUUGAAAAUGCCAAAUGUGUAUAUAUAGAAUGUUUCUGAUGUAUACACAAAUGUAAAAUGCGUAUGGAAUAAAGUAAACAUAAAAAAUAUAAGUUUUCAAAAAAAAAUUCAUGUACUUGAAAAAUGUUCAUUUAUAUGAAAAAAUUGAUGUAUACAAAAAAUAUAGAAUUCGUAUGGGCAGUAGAUAGCAAAACAUUAUAUGCUUUUAAAAAUGUUAAUCAUGUAUUUCGAAAAUGCUAAACAUGUGUACGUAAAAUGGUAAACAUGUACAUAAAAAUGUAUCAGAUAUAUAAGAAAAAUGUAGGAUGUGUACGAAAAAAAUAGACAUAAGAACAUAUAUUUGAAAAAAUAUUAUUCAUAUAUUUGAAAAACUUUAAACAUCUGUUAAAAAUGCUUUAGAUGUAUACCAAAAAAGCAUAGUGUGUAUACAAACAAUAGACAUUGAAACAUUUUUUUUAAAAAAAUUUAACCAUGUAUUUAGACAGUAAACAUUUAAUAAAAAAUGUCCAUGGCGUAUAUGAAAAAAUUUAGAAAGAAAACCAAAAAGGAAAUAAAGAAAAACGAACAAAACCAAUAAAAACCAAAAAGGAAACAAAGAAAAUCAAAGAAAAAUGAAACAAAGAAUAAAACCACUGAAACAAGUUGCAAAAAAUAGAAAACAAUGAAAACUGAGAAAAUGAAAACAAAGAAAUAAACAAAGAAACUUGAAGAGAAAGAAAAGAAAUAUCAAUGAAAACCAAGAAAGAAACCAAAGAAAAACAAAGGAAACAAAAAGUAAGUAUGAUGACAAAAAAGAAAAACCAAAGAAAACUGAUGAAGGAAUAAGAAAACCAAAUAAAUCAAACUCAUCAGCGCACAGACUGACGAACAAACAACCAAGUAACACGCUAUUCGGAUGGCUCAUGCGCGGGCGCGCUGCGGGGAAGCUUCAGCCAAUUGGAGCUAUCAGCUCGCUAUAAGCGAGAUAUAGCUCCCGCAGCGACCAGUGGGCUACACGUUGGUUUCCCAGUUCCUCGAUCAAUCAGUGUUCUUCGCCUAAAGAAACAUCACACUCGACUAAUUGACAAGUCAUGCAAUGAGGCUAGAUCAGGUUGCAGGGAGGUAGCCGGCACGCAGGACGCAGCCACACACACACACGGCAAAGCGUGGGGAAACUGAGAUAUUAAUCAGUUUGCGAAUAGGGCUCCUUUCUUUUGUUAUUUUCAUUCAUUUCAUCUUUGUUGUACAUGUGCAUUGGUUUACUAAUUUUGGUAUUGUCAUCUCUUGUUUGCGUUCAAAUUGUUUUGGGACGGUAGUUGCCUAGUUGCUCAAGCUGUCACAUAUCCAAGAUUUUCAAGAUAGUUGCUUUUUCAAAAUAAAUGUAGAGUCUUUUAGCAUUUAUAUUUGAUACACUUCUAACUAUUGUACCGAACAACACAUAUUAAAGUUAUAUAAUUCCCUCGAGAAAAAAGUUAUAUUUUUUUAAAACACAGUACAAAUAUAGAUGCUCACGUACACGCAAAUACACUUGGCAAAUUUAUGAAUACAGUGCCAAGUCUUGAACUUGAAUCAUGGUGGACGGGAGAUUGAGGAGGAAGCAUGCCGAGGAUAAAUGGACCGUAUAGAUUUCAGCUUACGAAAAGAAAGAUUUUGUUCAUAUUUCAUUCUUCACAAGUAGAUGGACGUUAUACACAGUUACACACUAGAUGGACCAUACAAGUAUGCACAGGUAAAUUGUUCAUAAUGAUUAAUCUAAUGGUUCUUCAAAAUACUACGAAACACCAGAAUUGUAUUCACAAUAGACACUAGCUACUACGUUUCAUCUAAGCAAAUAGAAAGAAAAAAGAAGAAUAACCGUCUUAUUGUUCUCAAUGUUCAUACCAUUGGCUUAGGUUGUACGUAGCACAAAAUCAAGCAAGUAGAAAAUUACAAAAGUUCCCACUCACAAUUGAACAAAACCGAGCACAAAAAGGCCCCCUUCACUAGGCCUAGACACUACCCAAACUAUCAACUAGAAAUAGUGAUCCAACCCAAGAAGAGAACUCCACCGUCAACUGUCAUCGAACAUCAGACGCAAGUGUACAGCUGGCAACUUAACAUCUCGCCAAAAGUUGGCGACUGAAAAACAAAAUCAGGUUCAGAAGCAAUACAAAACGAGAAACACAUAUGCAAUCGUACGCCUGAAGCAGGUGCCAGCCCUGUUUCGGAACCAUGCGCAUCCCUUGAGACCUGCUUGAACCACUUUCCUCUCCACACGAGUAGAUUUUUGGUUCACUGAUUUCAAUGCAACAAUGACUGGUUUCAGAACCGUGAAAGUAUCUGGCCGGUUUCAGAUCAACGAUACUAUCCGCUACGCCGGUCUUGUGGCAGGUUCUUUCCCUAUGUCUCUUAUUCCUGCACAUCGUCAACGGCAUAUACCGUUCCGGUUUUGAGUCUGUUCUUUCUUAUUCUUGUGUAGAUUGAUGUCACCUUUCGCUAUACUAAAAACGAAGAGAUUCUACUACCGAAGUGCAAAAUAUGGAAAAAUGAAUUGGUGGAGUUUGUUGCUUGCUUUGAGGAAGAUGGUUUGUUUAUAUAGAAAGUAAAAGCUGUAUCUACGUACAAAUGAAGUUUACGUUGGUGGCCCAUUUAUUUGUUGUAACUUUAUUAUCCAACGUUGAAUGACUUGGAACACAUUUGGUUGCCUCCACGGUGCUCAUUGAGUGGCACACGCUAAUUUGCUUGUUUUGAAAAGGAAAAGUGGGCAUGUUUAUAGGAUUGUGGUUGUUUACUUCAAAAUACUCUGGAUAUUAUUAUUUUUUGCAGGGUAAAUACUCUUGAUAUGUUUAAUUCUAUUGGUAACACGUACAUACACAGGGGAUACACAAGGAGACCAUGUGAAUUUAUAUAUUUUUUAAAAGGAGGAUAACCCUCGGCCUCUGCAUCAGGACGAUGCAUGCAGCCAUAUAUUAUUAAUAGUGCAAAAUCCAGCAGCUGAACGCCAUUGACCCGGAAAUAAAGCGAAAAACAAACCCUGGGGCCUUAUAUCUUGCGACAGUACCUCGCCCAGAUAGCCACUAAUCCCUAUGAUACAAGACACGUCACAAACAAAAAAUAUACUCCUAGGUUGCGCCUUCAAGAAGGGAUCGCCGCACGUGCACCGAUGAUGGCGAGUCCACCACAAGAUUGAACUACGGAUUCUCAUCCCCAAAGCCAAGCUUCAAUCCACUAUGUUCAGCAAGGACACGACACAGGCGCGCGACGACAUAGUCUGAUCAGAGACUCGUCGUUGAAGCCGUCUGUACCAUCCGUCCUUAUCUGUCUACUGACACCUCGAUAGCCGAAAACCUCUUGAGGAGACAACGGAAGACAAAGACGUCCCAUACCGCCUACCUCCCGCUACUGUCGCACCACCUUGGAUCUGACAGGAACUGGCUAAACAUGACACCUCCAUCAGAGCCACCGUGCAUCACCUGCCAGUAGUAGGCAUGACUUGACGUCUCCAUAUAAGACGCCAUGCGUAGCAUCGGCCGGUAGCACAUCCACCGGUGGCUUCAACUGCCGCUGACAGGCACCGCCCGACAACUCCGAAAGAGGCACAUGUGUAACCCGACGAGCCGCAUUGAACCCGGUCUGUUGAUGGAAGGGACGUCCCAUGCCGCCACCAGCCUCAGAAGGCCCCACCUUGAGAUCCAGACUCUGAAUCGCCCACACAAUCCCGAAGUCCGCCGCCGUUGAUGAAAAGGGUCCGCCACCCCGAUUACGGGCUCUACAGGGAGCACCCACCAUCGCGCCAGCGGUUGUCGUUGCCCAUACAACAACAACCGCCGCCGCGGUCCCGCAUCAAGCGCCGUCGAUGCCGGAGGAAGCUUCGACCUCCACUCGCAUCCUGCGACGUCCCCGGGUGCAGGAUCCCAAGAUCCGCCCCCACAAGAACCUACCAUCUGGCCCGUCAUCCCCGGCGGAGGGGACACCGCCACCGCCAUGUUUGGAUUCGGGCCGGAGUCGCCACCGCCUCUGCCAAGACCGGAUCCAGGCCGGCCGCCACUGCCGCCACCACCGGCCACGCACAAACACCUCCAGCAGGAGCCACUGCGCCGUCAUGGAUCUCGGAACAGGCCGCACCUCCACGGAUCUAACGCCCUCGCCGCCUUACAGCCCGAGAAGGAGGAGCGGCCUCCGCCGCUGCCGUCAAACGCACAAAAGAGAAACCGAAUGCGGGUCUAUCUAGAGGAUCCAGAAUCACAAGGUUUGGAUUAGAUCCGAACUCCAAAAGGCACCUGAGAACCAAAGUAUUUUUCUCCUGAACAAAAAAUGCCUUUCAACAAUUACAGAAGUUCAAGGGGUCCCCACUCACAAUUACACAGAACUAGCAAAAAAGGCCCUUCAACUAGAUCUAGAUAUUACCCCAACUGGAGUAUCAGCUAUAAACACUAUUGAUCCAACCAAAGAAGAGAACUCUACCGUUAGCAGUUGCCUGACAUCAGCCGCAAGCCUACUUCAAAAUGAGAAACACACAUGCAAUCCAAAAUGAGAACAUCAGCCGCAACUGAGCAUCUCCCCAGAGGUUCACGCGACGAGAAACAGAAGAAAGUAGUCCAAAAUGAGAAACACACAUGCAAUCCUACGCUGAAGUAAGUGCCAUCCCUGUGCGGAACCAUACACCUCCCUUAAUAACACAUGCUCGAAUGGUUGUGUUCCCCACGGCAAUAGAUUAUUCUGUCACUAAUUUCUAUGCAACAACAUGCUUGAGAACCACGAAAGUAUCUGGCUGGUUUCAGAACUGAGAGUAUAUACUUCCCCAUGUCUCUUAUUCCUGCGCAUUGUCUACAGCAUACACCGUUUUGGUUUUCAGACUAUUCUUUCAUAUGCUUGUGUGGAUUUCCGUCACCAAUCACUAUACCAAAAUACUGAAAAUGAGGAGUUUGUACUGCCGGGGUGUCAAAUAUGGAUAAAUGAGAUGGUGGGUUUUGUUGUUUGCUUUGAGAAAGAUGGGUUGUCGAUAUAGAAAGGGAAAGCACUAUCUAUUUGGUUGCACGAGGGCUCAUUGAGCGGCACACCCUAGUUUGCCUGUUUUGAUUAGGAAAAAUAGGCAUGUUUAUAGGGUUGUAGAAGUUGUCUAUUGGUAACACUUACAUACACAGGGGAUACAGAAGGAGACCAUGUGAAUUUAUAUGACCGACUAGAAGAGCAUGGUAACCAUUCAAUGUUGUAAUUGUGAGCUUGGGCUCACAUGAAUACUGCUAAAAUAUCCCGUGCUUCCUAAAUACUCGACUGAAUGUUGGUCCAUGGCCUUACGCGCAAUUGUUACAAGUUUGAAGUUCCAAGUGUGUUUGAUAAUCCAAGAAGCAUGCACUAACUUACAUUACCCUCACUGGAGAAGAGUCAUUUGUAGGCCAAGAAGCACAUGUCUCCUCCAUAAAGAGGAACCAAACACGGGUCCAUCUAGAGAAUCCAGAAUCACAUGGUUUGGAUCAGAUUCCAACUCCAAAAGGCGCCUGCGAACCAAAGUAUUUUUCUUCUAAAUGAACAAUGGCUUUCAACAAUUACAGAAGUUCAAGGAGUACCCACUCACAAUUAAACAAAACUAGCCAAAAAAAUGGUGCUUCAACUAGAUCUAGACACUACCGCAACUGGAGUAUUAGCUAGAAACAUCAUGGAUCCAACCAAAGAGAACUACACAGUUAGCAGUUGUCAAACAUCAGCCGCAAGCCAACUUCCAGCAACUUAGCAUCUUCCAGAAGUCCAUGAGAUGAGAAAGAAAAGCACUUUCGAAAGCAGUCCAAAAUGAGAAAAUGAGCAGGUGCCAGCCGUGUGCAAAACCAUACACCCCCCUUAACAGCUUCUCAAACGGCCUGUUUGAGAACCACGAACGUAUCUGGCAUGUUUCAGAACAGGCAAAGUAUCCACUACCCUGGUAUACAGACCUCGUGGUUGGUUUCCCCAUGUCUCUUUCUCUUACUCCUGCGCAUCGUCAAUGGGCAUAUACCGUUUCGAAUUUCAAUCUAUUCUUUCUUAUGCUUUUGUGGAUCGCCAUCACCAUUCACUAUAACAAAAUACUAGAAAUGAAGAGUUUGUACUGCCGAAAUGUAAAAUAUGGAUAAAUGAGGUGGAGUUUGUUGUUUGCUUUGACCAAGAUCGGUUGUCUAUAUAGUAAACGAAAGCACUAUCUAUGCAGUACAAAUGAAGGUUGGUGGUCCAUUUAUGUGCCACAACUUUAUUGUCCGUGUUGAAUGACUUAGGACACAUUUGGUUGCACGGGUGAAUUUAUAUGACCGGCAAGGAUAGCUGAGAAUCCAAUGUCGUAAUGGUGAGCUCGAUCGUGCUCACAUGAACACUGCUAAAAUGUACAUAUGUCCGGUGCUUCCUAAAUACUCGAGUGAAUGUUGGUCUCUGGCCUUAUGCACAAUCGUUGUCAUUUUGAAGUUCCAAGGGUGUUUGAUGGCCCAAGGAGGAUGCAUCAUUUGUAGGGCAAGAAACGCAUGUCUCCUCCACAGAAAGAAACCGAACGCGGGUCUAUCUGUCAGCAGAAUCCAGAAUCGCAAGGUUUGGAUCAGAUCCCAACUCCAAAAGGCACCUGGGAACCAAAGUAUAUUUUUGCUGAACAAGAUUGCACGCCAAAGUAUCAAACCAAAGACCUGAGCCAAAGCUAUGCUUUGCUUUCUCCCUUGAAGGUCGCCAAAGUUUCCAAGCCUGUGCAUUCAGGUUAUAAGAAUCACAACCUCAAUGGCAAGCUGCAUACCGAAAACCUCAAACCAACAUCAAAAAUGGCAAUGGGAGGAGGAUCGCAUUUGCAGGGACACCGGGCGCCGAGGCUGUUCGGCAGGGAAAGGCCGGUCCAUGCCGCCCUGGGUGGACGCGAAGGUGGCUAGCAAACUACUUACAUUCUUGCAGAGAUACGAGCCUAAGUUUUCUGAUUUCUGAACUGAUCAUGUGUGUGUUGCGUUGCAGCGGCGGACAUCAUCCUGUGGAGGAGGCCGAAGGUGUCGGCGUCGAUCCUCGGCGCGGCGACGGCGGCGUGGGGUCUGUUCGAGGUGGCGGAGUACCACUUCCUGACGCUGGCGUGCUACGCCGCCAUGAUUACCAUGCUCACCUUCUUCAUCUGGACCAACGCCUCCGCUUUCCUGAACCUGUACUGCACCAAACCCCAUUUCUUCAGUCCCACGGUUUUGUUUCAGAAUUAGCUUCAGGGCUGAAUUGUGAACUGCACACAGGCCGGUUCCAAGGAUCCCUGAGACAAUCCUGUCGGAGAGGACGGCGAAGCAGGUGAUCCUGGCCCUGCACAGGCGGCUCACCUGGUUCGUGCACCGGCUGUACGCCAUCGCCUGCGGGGAGGACAUCAAGAAGUUCAUCAUGGUAACCAACCCACCUCACAACAAUCCUGAUCUGAUCUAUGCCACAACUCUGAAGCCUGAUAAACUCAUACACACGCUACUGCAGACGGUGGUGUCUCUGUACAUCGCGUCGGUCGUCGCGACCUGCUUCAGCUCCCUCACCCUGCUCUACCUCGGUAAGCAACUGCCAACACCUUCAGUAGCAGAAACUCCCCAUUCUUCAGAAUCCAAUGUACUGAGCUAGCAACGAUGAUACCAUCUUUGUUUUGGCAGUUGUGUUCUUCACGAUGACGGUGCCGGCGCUGUACGAGCGGUACGAGCACGAGGUGGAGCACCUGGUGGCCACGGGGGCGCGCGACGUCCGUACCCACUUGGCCAAGGUGGACUCCGGCGUGCUCCGGAAGAUCCCCAGAGGCAAAGGCGCCACCACCGCCGCACACGGGACGACGGCCAACAACGUGCACGGGUGGCAUCGCUCGCACGUCAACUAAACCUACCCAGCCAACAACAUGCUACUACUAACCAACCUUUACAGAGAUCGAGCGAGCUGCGGACAGAUGUAAAUAUAAGUUCAGAAUAAGACCUGAACGAACCCAGCUAACUACAUGCUCAUCAAUCAGCACACUGUGCAGAGAGGGAGCUGCAGACAGAUGUAAAUUUAUAAGGUUCAGAACAAGACCUGAACGAACCAACAUAUGUUCAUCAAUCUGUACAGUACAUUACAGAGAGCGAGCCUGCAGAGAGAUGUGGAUUUAGGUUCAGAAUAAGACCUGAAUGUAAAGUGUUUCACUCCUACAUGAUCAUGCGUGCAUGCAUGCAUCCAAUCCGCCCGUGCGACCAGUGGUGUGGCGAUCCUGUAAAUCUCUCUACCAACGCAUGCGUGCGCUUUACGGUGGUGCGAUAUCUUCUUUCCAUCCUCCCCUGCUUCCUCCUUUCCGCUUUCCCGUGUACGCGUACCAGUGUAUGUAUCUGUUACGUGAUGGGUCGACCGCCAUGGAAAGGAAGGAAGAACACAAGGGCUCCACCAUUGAUGCAUGGUGGAUGGAGGAGGGCAGACAGCGACACGCACGCACCUGGCAAAGCCAUCGGCAUCGGACGGGUAGAGAUUAUAUUCCCUGGAGCUGAGGCAAUCAACAGUCGCCCGCGCCGUGUCUCCGCCCGGAUCGAAGACGAUCCGCUCCGAUCUCCCGAGGAUCGGAUCGGACGCCCCCUCGCGGCUAAAUUUCGUGUUUUGACCCUUUUCUAAUAUCUUUUCGAGAUCUGAUUCUAGUCUGACUAGUAAUCAUGCACGUCUCGAUCGUAAAACAUGUGAAUUCACAUAAUAUAAAAAAAUAAACGUUUUUAAAAUUAUAAAUCAAAUGGAUACAUAAUGUUUGAUAUCGCUCAAAUUGUAUUUUCAAAAGCGAGACACAAUAGUGGUUAUGUUGCUGCAUAGAGUAAUAAAAAUAUUCUCAUUUAAAUAAAAUCAGCAAUUAUUUAUUAAUGCAAUAAUAUAGGCAUGUAGUAUAGUCUUCUCUUCGAGUGUAGCCAGGGAAAAAAGUAUAAACUGCCUUACAGUGCAAUUAUAUUGUUCAAGAUGCUUAAUUCUCGAAUCUUAUUUUAUUCUACUAAUCUGCAUAGCAAAAUAUAUAUUUGUACUAAUUUGGAUCAAAUUAUAUAUAUUUUUUGGUUGUGUGGACUGCCAAAAUUAUAUAGCUACCUACUAUGGAUAAUAGGAAAUAGAAGAUGAUAUGUGUACAACGACUUCUAUAUAAAAUAAAGAUGAUUUACAAGAACUAAUUGAAAUGUAAAGGGGCUAAAAGAAAAUCCAAUGAUUAUCAUGAUAGAAAAAAUUUAUCCGGUUUUGUAUGUGUUUAUGCGUUGGCAACCAUACUAACUUACAAUGAUGUAAGACGUUUUGUACGUAUAGAAACUGAAAUGAGUUAUGAAGAAAAAUAAAGAUGGAAGGAAAAGUAUUCUAAAGUAUUUGUCAAGCUUAACCUUAUCAAGCUUUCAGGUCAGCUUCUAAAUUACAAAAAAAUGAUGAAUCCUCAAAUAAGAAAGAGCCAACAAUUUGGAACAUGCUACAAAACUGGUGAAUAUAGAAAGCAUUCAUCCUCUUUUUCCUUGUCGUAAGGAGUAGCUUCAGCAUACAUUUGUAACAGUGUAAUACCUGAUUCGGAAAAAGUUUUUCAUUAUUAUUAUUGAAGGAAAGAGGCGUGCAGACAAAGAAAGAGAGGCGGUGCAAAUAAGGCCUUAAACAGCAUGUCUUCGAGUUUGAUGACUGCAGAUAUGUUGGAUCAUUCGAAACUGCACAAGUAUAUAAGAAUAAAUAUAUGUGCCAAAAUAGCGAAAAAUAUUUGGUUUCUCUGUCAUGAAACAAAAUAAAUCCAACUAAGUACAGUUUAUAUGAUUUCUCUGUACCAAUAUACGGUAGCUGUAUUAGGACAGAUCCUUUGAAGGAUCUAUUUAUUGGAACUCAGCCGGAUUAGUUUCUUCAUUGGAUCCUUCUGUAUGGUAAAAUUCUCUUUAUUGAAACGCAGUAGAGAUUGCAUACCUUUACAGAACAGCGAGAGAUAUUCUCUAACAACAGUUACGGAGUCAUGUGACCCGUUUUAGAUGUAUAGAAUCAUGUAACUGAAAUAGUAGUACAUCUUCAAUAUCUUGCCUCCUACUGAAUCUUACAUAAUUUACUGGAUUGCUAUGCAAUUAUGUUAAAGUGACGUGUGUAAAGUUUUCUCUAAGAAUGAAUCAUAUAUUCUGAUUUCCAACCUAUCCCUGGAGAUAGUGCAUAGGCAGGUGCAACCCACCUUAAUUUCAGAUAAAGCAACGUCAUAUGUAAAACACACACUGAUCAAAUAGCACAAAUAAGGCAAUUCUAAUCAAGGGGAUGGCGUUAUCUCUUGAUACGGUCCAGUUUAAUGCAUAUGGUGGUACGAAGUAAAGCACAACGAAGCCGACAUGAACAUGAGAAGUAAUCAUGGAAAAUAGACUCUGUAUCUUGACUUCUUCAGUAUCCCUCUUGAUCCUACUUUGUAAGACAAGAUUGCUGCAUUUUUAUGUACGUGCCAUAUAUAAUUACACAUUUUCAGUACAGCAAUCGGCAACCUAAGAUAAUCCCAAAUCUAUAAUUCUAGAUUGCUUGAAGCCACACGAUUCUUAUUCAAUAUGUAAUGCACAUGCACCCACUGAACAGACACUUUGUCGGCGUGGGUGCUGUGAACGGAGCUGAAGUCAACGCGGAUGCCGAUGGUUGCCGGAGAGCAUGCCCUGGACUUGGAUGGAGUCGUCGCAGUAGCGGCAGAAGAGCGCCUGGCCUCCAGCCAGAAGACGAUGGCGGCGAUAGCACGUGUGUUCCCGGAGGAAGACGAAGCUCCUCGCGCUUCCCCCAUCGUGGCUAGCGUGCAUGAUGGCGGCAGGCGGCUCGCGAUUAGCUUUCUAAUAGGAUGGAUGCGUCCGAUAUAAGUUUUUUAAUAGGAUGGAUUUUUCUGAAAUUAGUUUCCUAAUAGGAUGGAUGCACUCUGAUUUAGUUUCCUAGAAUAUGAUGCACUCGUGAUUAUUAGUUUCUUAAUUGCUCAGGCGUGGAGUUUCAUAUUUUCCUCCACGGUGGAGUACGGUCAGUCAAUGUAAAUUGCUAAGUGCACACAGAAAAUGGUUUAGGUUAAGGCUAAUCGUUAGAUUGAUUUUAGUGGGCCUAAUCGUGCGGUGGUAUUGAAUCUGUGUAUGCUUUGUGAGGUGUACUUAAAUAAAUUUUUGUUUGAUUGUUUAAUAGUAGUAUAGAUAAGACAAGAUUGCUGCAUUCUUAUGUACGUGCCAUAUAUAAUUACACAUUUUCAGUACAGCAAGCGGCAACCUCAGAUAAUCCCAAAUCUAUAAUUCUAGAUUGCUUGAAGUCCCACGAUUCUUAUUUAAUAUGUAAUGCACAUGCACCCACUGAACAGACACUUUGUCGGCGUGGGUGCUGCGAACGGAGCUGAAGUCAACGCGGAUGCCGAUGGUUGCCGGAGAGCAUGCCCUGGACGUGGAUGGAGUCGUCGCAGUAGCGGCAGAAGAGCGCCUGGCCUCCAGGCAGAAGACGAUGGCGGCGAUAGCACGUGUGUUCCCGGAGGAAGACGAAGCUCCUCGCGCUUCCCCCAUCGUGGCUAGCGUGUAUGAUGGCGGCAGGCGGCUCGCGAUUAGCUUUCUAAUAGGAUGGAUGCGUCCGAUAUAAGUUUUUUAAUAGGAUGGAUUUGUCUGAGAUUAGUUUCCUAAUAGGAUGGAUGCACUCUGAUUUAGUUUCCUAGAAUAUGAUGCACUCGUGAUUAUUAGUUUCUUAAUUGCUCAGGCGUGGAGUUUCAUAUUUUCCUCCACGGUGGAGUACGGUCAGUCAAUGUAAAUUGCUAAGUGCACACAGAAAAUGGUUUAGGUUAAGGCUAAUCGUUAGAUUGAUUUUAGUGGGCCUAAUCGUGCGGUGGUAUUGGAUCUGUGUAUGCUUUGUGAGGUGUACUUAAAUAAAUUUUUGUUUGAUUGUUUAAUAGUAGUAUAGAUAAGACAAGAUUGCUGCAUUCUUAUGUACGUGCCAUAUAUAAUUACACAUUUUCAGUACAGCAAGCGGCAACCUCAGAUAAUCCCAAAUCUAUAAUUCUAGAUUGCUUGAAGUCCCACGAUUCUUAUUUAAUAUGUAAUGCACAUGCACCCACUGAACAGACACUUUGUCGGCGUGGGUGCUGCGAACGGAGCUGAAGUCAACGCGGAUGCCGAUGGUUGCCGGAGAGCAUGCCCUGGACGUGGAUGGAGUCGUCGCAGUAGCGGCAGAAGAGCGCCUGGCCUCCAGGCAGAAGACGAUGGCGGCGAUAGCACGUGUGUUCCCGGAGGAAGACGAAGCUCCUCGCGCUUCCCCCAUCGUGGCUAGCGUGUAUGAUGGCGGCAGGCGGCUCGCGAUUAGCUUUCUAAUAGGAUGGAUGCGUCCGAUAUAAGUUUUUUAAUAGGAUGGAUUUGUCUGAGAUUAGUUUCCUAAUAGGAUGGAUGCACUCUGAUUUAGUUUCCUAGAAUAGGAUGCACCCGUGAUUAUUAGUUUCCUAAUUGCUCAGGCGUGGAGUUUCAUAUUUUCCUCCACGGUGGAGUACGGUCAGUCAAUGUAAAUUGCUAAGUGCACACAGAAAAUAGUUUAGGUUAAGGCUAAUCGUUAGAUUGAUUUUAGUGGGCCUAAUCGUGCGGUGCUAUUGGAUCUGUGUACGCUUUGUGGGGUGUGCUUAAAGAAAUUUUUGUUUGAUUGUUUAAUAGUAGUAUAGAUAAGACAAGAUUGCUGCAUUCUUAUGUAUGUGCCAUAUAUAAUUACACAUUUUCAGUACAGCAAGCGGCAACCUAAGAUAAUCCCAAAUCUAUAAUUCUAGAUUGCUUGAAGCCCCACGAUUCUUAUUUAAUAUGUAAUGCACAUGCACCCACUGAAUAGACACUUUGUCGGCGUGGGUGCUGCGAACAGAGCUGAAGUCAACGUGGAUGCCGAUGAUUGCCGGAGAGCAUGCCCUGGACAUGGAUGGAGUCAUCGCAGUAGCGGCAGAAGAGCGCCUGGCCUCCAGGCAGAAGACGAUGGCGGCGAUAGCACGUGUGUUCCCGGAGGAAGACGAAGCUCCUCGCGCUUCCCCCAUCAUGGCUAGCGUGCAUGAUGGCGGCAGGCGGCUCGCGAUUAGCUUUCUAAUAGGAUAGAUGCGUCCGAUAUUAGUUUUUUAAUAGGAUGGAUUUGUUUGAGAUUAGUUUUCUAAUAGGAUGGAUGCACUCUGGUUUAGUUUCCUAGAAUAGGAUGCACCCGUGAUUAUUAGUUUCCUAAUUGCUCAGGCGUGGAGUUUCAUAUUUUCCUCCACGGUGGAGUAAGGUCAGCCAAUGUAAAUUGCUAAGUGCACACAGAAAAUGGUUUAGGUUAAGGCUAUUCGUUAAAUUGAUUUUAGUGGGCCUAAUCGUGCGGUGGUAUUGGAUCUGUGUAUGCUUUGUGGGAUGUGCUUAAAGAAAUUUUUGUUUGAUUGUUUAAUAGUAGUAUAGAUAAGACAAGAUUGUUGCAUUCUUAUGUACGUGCCAUAUAUAAUUACACAUUUUCAGUACAGCAAGCGGCAACCUAAGAUAAUCCCAAAUCUAUAAUUCUAGAUUGCUUGAAGCCCCGCGAUUCUUAUUUAAUAUGUAAUGCACAUGCACCCACUGAACAGACACUUUGUCGACAUGGGUGCUGCGAACGGAGCUGAAGUCAACGCGGAUGCCGAUGGUUGCCGGAGAGCAUGCCCUGGACGUGGAUGGAGUCGUCGCAGUAGCGGCAGAAGAGCGCCUGGCCUCCAGGCAGAAGACGAUGGCGGCGAUAGCACGUGUGUUCCUGGAGGAAGACGAAGCUCCUCGCGCUUCCCCCAUCGUGGCUAGCGUGCAUGAUGGCGGCAGGCGGCUCGCGAUUAGCUUUCUAAUAGGAUGGAUGCGUCCGAUAUAAGUUUUUCAAUAGGAUGGAUUUGUCUGAGAUUAGUUUCCUAAUAGGAUGGAUGCCUUUGAUUUAGUUCCUAGAAUAGGAUGUACCCGUGAUUAUUAGUUUCCUAAUUGCUCAGGCGUGGAGUUUCAUAUUUCCUCCAGGGUGGAUUACGGUCAGUCAAUGUAAAUUGCUAAGUGCACACAGAAAAUGGUUUAGGUUAAGGCUAUUCGUUAGAUUGAUUUUAGUGGGCCUAAUCAUGUAAUGGUAUUGGAUCUAUGUACGCUUUGUGGGGUGUGCUUAAAGAAAUUCUUGUUUGAUUGUUUAAUAAUAGUAUAGAUAAAAUUUCGAGAUAUGACCUUUUUGCUACCGCCAAGGUCCAUGGCGGUAGGGUUUAACAGCCUACCGCCAAGGUCCCUGGCGGUAGGGUUACAUGCCCUACCACAAAAUCUUUUAAGUGUUAAACACAAUGCGUGCUUGUGCCUACCGCCAAGCACCUUGACAGUAGGAUUAUACAGACUACUGCUAGUAUGUUUGGCGGUAGGGAUGUUUCCUAAAGCCAAGGUCCAUGGCAGUAGGUUGUUACACCCUACCGCCAUGGACCCUGACGGUAACAAAAGGGUCAGAUCUUGAAAAACUAAGAUCAUUUUACCACCCCCACCCACUUCCUCCCGGUCACUGUCCAUCCAAUACCUAUCUUAAUUAACCUUCUGCGUCAUGCGUCGACAGAUAUCGUAGUAAAAGAAACGGAGAUGGCAACACUGACAAGCGACACAUCGAUCGAUCCAUCGCUCGGCCGUGCAUGCGCCGGCGAUCGCGCAGGCAGACUCGAGAGGCUCAGCAUGCAGACAUGGGGACAUGGAGUGGGUAGCAGCAGUGCGGCAGUACGUUUACACUGUGCUGACCCACGACGGGUCUGGGGCUCGAGUGGAGAGCUGUUCGUCAGCUCCGCUUUGCCGUGGCUUGUCUCGUCGACCCUUUUGCGCGCGCGCACAGUUACAGUUCAAGGGUUUCCACGGCCCAAAUAAUUGCGCGUUCCGUGGAACGUUUCCAAGUCGAUGAAAACGAAAGCGGGGUUAAUUACUUGGUGCUUAUCAGGUCUCGGUAGAUAUUUUUCUUUUCUUUGGAUUUUUGCGCAUAUGGAAUCAGCCUGUCUGCUUCAGUGUGUUGGUCUAUUGGGCCGCUAACCAACCCCGGCCAUCGCGUGCGUGUUAGGUUAGGCCGCCGGAGGCCCGGCCCGGACAGUCGGUCAACGUGCGCACGGAGACGGCGACAGGCGGGCGCACGCAGUUGGUUACUGGCGGGGUCGCCGUCGACGGCCGGCCGGCGAGGAGCCGAAGUCCGACCUCGCGUUCGCGUGCGUAGGUGCGUGCCACCGGGCUGAGCGAGACUGGAGGAGGACAAAGGCUGACCGAACAACGAGGGUUUGUUGGUGGGAGAACGUGCGCUACGGUCUGAACGAAAGCGAGGUGCCGCACUCGAACGCGGUUCGGCGGAGACACGCUGUCGGUAAGCAAGCAGGGACUGCGUGGGACGAGGAGGCUGCUGGACGUCGCUGUGCGCCGGGGAGGAGCGGUGGCGUGCCGGCGGCAGCGAGACCGGCCACAUGGCGCUGCGCCCGGCCGGACGGGCGGGGGACAUGCGCGCGCCCGUUGGGCCUUUCGGGGGGCCAAAAGAACAACGGGGGAGGAGAUUUCGGAUGGGGCGGCUGUGCGGCCGAGGCGCCGUCCGCCCCGUUCAUGCGGGAGCAGAGAAUCCAUCUCAUUUCCACCGUGACGCCUGGCCUGGGGGCUGGGGCUGGUGCACUGGUGGUACGUGCUGGGGGGCGCACGUGGCGGACCGGGCCGUCCUCGCCGUCGUGGCCGCGGCAGAGGGUCGGGCACGGGCACGGCCAGGCCCACGUGCAACUGUGCCACCCCCACUCCCAUUGGGUCUGGGCAUCCGGCCAGCUCGGACUGCGUACCGGCCUACCGCCAUGCCAGGGCCCGUGCUCCCUCCGCCGGCGCCACUUGCGCCGGGCCGGUGCCACCCGCCACCCCCAUCCGCGCGGAUCCCGAGGCAGGCUGACUCAGCCUCUCCUUCCCGGCGGCCCCAGACCGGAUCGGAUCCAACGCCCACGCCCCUAUCCGACUAGGAUCGCCGGACCUAGUGAAGAACCCACCAUGAUCUACUAUCUAAUAUGACAGCGUGCACAGUGCAUGGUAUGGACUGCAAAUUGAUGCUAAAGCCGUUCUUCUUGGCUCCAAAGCGUACGUACGAGCCAUGCCACCAAAUUAUUGGUAUGAUCCCAACACACACACACACACACACACACACACACACACACAAUAAGAUAAGAAAAGUAGGGCAAGUUGGGGGGAAGAUUAGUUAGUGGGUAAAGAAUGAGCUUUGCCUGGCGCCCAGAAGAGAACCCUUUGAAUACAACGCAAACACAGCCGUAAAGCGGCGUUGCUGCCCUGUUGCCGGUGCUGUAUUACCAUCAUUCUGUUGCGCCAAACCCUUUGUUUACACCGCACACUUUGCUUGCCCUUCUCCCACUGAUUGCCGUGCACUUGUGCAUGCCCAGGAGGGGUGUUUCAGUUCCAGCGUUCUCGACUCCAACACCACGACACUCCAACNNNNNNNNNNNNNNNNNNNNNNNNNNNNNNNNNNNNNNNNNNNNNNNNNNNNNNNNNNNNNNNNNNNNNNNNNNNNNNNNNNNNNNNNNNNNNNNNNNNNNNNNNNNNNNNNNNNNNNNNNNNNNNNNNNNNNNNNNNNNNNNNNNNNNNNNNNNNNNNNNNNNNNNNNNNNNNNNNNNNNNNNNNNNNNNNNNNNNNNNNNNNNNNNNNNNNNNNNNNNNNNNNNNNNNNNNNNNNNNNNNNNNNNNNNNNNNNNNNNNNNNNNNNNNNNNNNNNNNNNNNNNNNNNNNNNNNNNNNNNNNNNNNNNNNNNNNNNNNNNNNNNNNNNNNNNNNNNNNNNNNNNNNNNNNNNNNNNNNNNNNNNNNNNNNNNNNNNNNUAAAGCGCCGGCCUCCACUCGCGCCACCGGAGAGGAAUAAGAUCCCCGGCAGAUCGCAUCGGCAGUACCGCCUACUCGAGUGCCUAGGAAAAGAGCGCGCCGGUGCUUCCGAUCAUGCCAGAUUUCAGUCCACCAAUGAACAAAGAAGGCAACUUGCAGGUUAAACUAAACCCAAACAGUUUGCUGGGGUUCUGCAUACCAGGUAUGCUAGUUUAGAACUUCAGUCUUCAGAUUAGAUGUAUGUGUGGCUGGUGAAGCUCACUGGAAACGGAAGCUCUAACCCCGGCUGAAUUGGUUGGUCAGUCACAUCCACAUAUAACUAUCCACAUAACUAAGCCCAACAAACAUGAUCUAAAGAAAAACAUCUCUUCUCCUUGGCUCAGCACCAGGAAAAGAAUCCACUCCAACAACCAUGUCAAAGCAAAUCCAUCGGCGAAAACCUACAGGCAUGAUAACACUACUACCUCCGUCUCAGUGAAUAAGUCCAUCGGCAAAGACCUAGAACUACGCGAAUGACUUAUUCACCUAGACGGAGGUAGUACCAGGCAUGAUAACACUACCGGAUCCUACAAUUAUUUGCUAGUCAUCCUGGCAUAUAUAGAGCGCGCUAAAAGAAGAAUAUCUAGAAUUGUCAAACUGUGACGCCACGCUUGUAUGUCGAUCCAAAUGUAGUUGGAUGCUUGAAGCAAAAGGAAACACGCACACGAGCACGGGACAAGGGUGUAUUAAAAACCAGAAGAAAAUGUAUCGACAUCAAUAUCAAUAAUGGUACAAAAAUAUGGGACAAAGGGUGUAUGAUGAUAUUUAACUCGGGAUCAAGUUUCUACAAGGCAAGCUAAAUAAUAAACACAUAUCUGACAUUUCAACCUCGGUACCAUCCAUGAGUUUUAAAUAUACAGAGGGGCUACACAAAUGAUGAGUUCUCGAUUCGGAAGUUUUUACUGAGCUUUUUAGACAACUAUAUAUUUAUUCAAAAAUUAAGACAAGCAAUUGGAACUGUAAUCCAACACUUCAUUCACAGGCCUUCCUUCCACCCCCAGCUUGCUGCAACAUCGGCAAAUGGACUCUCCAGGACCAAAUCAGAAACUCCCCCUCAGGCUCGGCAACACAGGGACGAACAUAGUACCGGUUUGAUCUUAUUUUGGACCCCCACCCCUAAUCACAAGUCCAGAUGCAUGCUUGAUUUGAUCCCGAAUGCACAGCUGACCAAUCACAAUAUCCAAUGUUUGCCAUCGACUUGCGCAACUUGUAAUAACAAUAAUGAUAAGUAACAGCAGGAUUACCUCUAGGAUACGCAGCAUAACAGAAUUCACCAAUCCUUCG
RNAcentral lists this long non-coding RNA (48287 nucleotides) under Triticum aestivum (bread wheat). RNAcentral describes it as "long non-coding RNA (TAES_LNC025083)". The record is from RNAcentral. Lineage: Eukaryota; Viridiplantae; Streptophyta; Magnoliopsida; Poales; Poaceae.